RNAcentral lists this long non-coding RNA (82770 nucleotides) under Populus tremula. RNAcentral's name for it is "long non-coding RNA (PTRE_LNC001510)". The stretch from base 61559 to 61714 matches the Rfam family "MIR2912 microRNA precursor family". The record is from RNAcentral. Lineage: Eukaryota; Viridiplantae; Streptophyta; Magnoliopsida; Malpighiales; Salicaceae.
AUCCUACUCCUAUAUAUUAUGACAACUAGAGUUCUAUUUAGAUUGCUCAUAACUCGGUUUUUCAUGAGCGAACUAAGCACAUUGAGAUUGAUUGUCAUCUUACUCGUUAUCAUCUCAAGCAUGACACCAUUACUUUUCCUUUUGUUUAUUCUUCCUUGGACAUUGCAGAUUUCUUUACCAGGACGCAUUCCAUUUCUCAUUUUCAUUUUUUAGUUGGCAAGCUCUUAAUGUUUGUAGUUGUCGCAUCGUGAGUUUGAAAGGAGAUGUUAAAUAACAUUUAUUUAGCCUUAUUUAUUAAGGGUAGAAUAGUAUUUUCAGUUUAACCUAUAUAUAAUUUUUUUAUAUUUAGGUUAACUCUAAGCACUCAUAAUAAACUGAUUAUUAAGAAUUAUAGUUUUCUUUUUUUGUUUGAUCUGAAUUAUUUUAACAAUAAUAUGUAAUUAACAUAUACAUGGUGCAUGGAUACUUACUGUUACGCUGAAUUAAAAAAUCAGAUCUAUAAGGUAUUGUAAACAAAUUAGAUUGAAAAAAACAGGUGGCUUACAACAGAACACGCUUACACUAUGCACUAGAUAGCUAGAUCUCCACUCUAUAAAUAGGCCUGGUUCGUUCUUCUUCAAACCACUCUUCCCUAGCUACACACUUCUUCGUUCUAUAUUUAUUGUUUCUGUUUCCUUCUUUCAUUUUACUUGUCAAUGGAAAGUGGGCUUAAGGCAUUGUGGGUGCUGUCCGCGGUGUUGCUGGUGUCAAACUGGCAACACUGGACUUAUGGAAAGGCCGUACCUCAAGUUCCUUGCUACUUCGUCUUUGGAGAUUCUCUCUUUGAUAACGGAAACAAUAACUACCUUGACAAAUCAGCUAAAGUUAAUUACCUUCCUUAUGGGAUAGACUUUGAUACUGGGGCUACAGGAAGGUGCAGCAAUGGUCUCAACAUAGCUGACACCAUUGGUCUGCAGUUUUCUCUCCUCUCUUAUAAUACAAAAUAUAGUGUUUUAGUUUUCUUUAACAUAUAAAAUAAAUAUGUUCUCACUAGAUAGUUGUGAUCGUUUUAUUAAAUUACAAUUAGAUAUCCUGCUAAGUCUGGUACUAAUGUUUUUGUUGCUGAAAUUUACAUAAUUUAUUAGAAGGAUGAUUAGGUUUGUUCUUUUGUUUCUUGUAUACCUUGAAACAUAAAUUUACAACGGUCUGAACAUAACCGAGUUUAGUAAUGUGGGCAGUUAUGAUCUUAAUUAUUAUUCUUUUGUUUCAGCUGAGCAAUUAGGUUUCGACAGUUACAUUACGGAUUUUGGUGUCGGAGGUUGCACUAAUUUUCUAGAUGGUGUAAAUUAUGGAUCAAAUGGAGCUGGCAUCCUUAAUUCUACUGGCUCUCUUGCGGUGAUUACUGAUCAUAUGCCUCUCAUAACUAAAACCUUGUAUUAUUCCGUAUGAAUUUUGCGUAAUCUUGUAUGCUUUGGCAACGCUACUAUUCAUAUGUUUCUUUUGUGUAUGUGAAGGGAGAACUAUUUACAAUGGAUGCUCAGUUAUUUAAUCACAAUAUCACGGUUUCACGAAUUUCCAAGAUCUUGGGAAGCGAGGAAGUUGCUAGGAAGUACUUGAGCCAAUGCAUCUAUGUGUCUGAUAUGGGUCAUAACGACUACCUCAACAAUUAUUUCAAGGAAGAGUACAACAGCAGCAAGCAAUAUACUCCUCAAAAAUUUGCUGAACUUCUUAUUAAAACUUAUGAAACUCAGCUGGAGGUUAGCCCUACUAAUGUCUCUUGUAAAACAACAAUUAAUGUUUGACACGAUUGGAAACUAACAAAGACCCCACUUCAUUCCGUUUUUUUUCCCUUGCUGCCAGAAACUGUAUUGCUCAGGAGCAAGAAAGAUAGCUGUGUUCGGACUUAUUCGGGUAGGAUGUAUGCCGCACAACAGACAAAACCAUCCCAAUGACGUAGAUGCAUCUUCUUUAUGUGUAGAAAAGUUCAACAGUGAUGUUCAAAUUUUCAACGGCAUGCUUCAAGAACUGCUAAAUAAUCUUAAUGAAAAGCAUGCUGAUGCUGUGUUUACCUACAUAAACUCUUAUGAAAUUGAUUCUGAUGAUCAGACAAAUACAGGUACGAAUCCCCUCCCUCCCUUGCUCUCUCUCUCUCACGGCUGAAGACGACUUUUUUGUGAGACCAAAAUUAUUUUUUCUUGCUUGCAGGUUUUACACAUACCCGUAAGAGCUGUUGCGAGGUAGCAUAUGGUUCAGUCCCAUGUACAUCUCUCUCCGUGCCAUGUAGCAACAGGAGUGACUAUGUGUACUGGGACGGAGCCCAUUUUACUGAAGCUAAAGCUAGGGCCUUUGGAGAAAGAGCAUAUAAAAGUCUGUCACAAAAGCAUGCUCAUCCAUAUGAUAUUAGCGAACUAGCUAAGCUGAAGCUUGAUGAUUCUGAUGCUUACAAUAUCAACCAUGCCCAGCUCUGAUGGAGAAGAUGAUUGUCCAAUAAGUUCUUAGAGAAUAAAAUAUUGUGACUGUAAGAACAAUGGAAAGACAUAUCUACUGUCUUUUCAUAGCCUUUCACAAUAUAAUUCCAAUAAAAUUUGCCUUUAGGCAUUAGCCUCAAGGAGCAAUAAUAAUUACUUAAUUCCUUAAUCAUUUGGAUAUCAUUACUUAAACUCUAUUCAUAGAAGGAUUUAUUCUUAAAGUAUGGAAGUCGAUUCGGAGAUACUCUUGCCAUUAAAAUCGAAAAAAGGAUACAUCCGUACGUUCAUAAACCAAAACAACUUUACUUCUAUAUUUAUAUCUGCGAAAUCUCAUAUGUGGACAUGAUAGGCUAAAAGAUCAUGGCCUCUGCUGCUAGUUUAUCUUUCUGUGACUCACUUCGGCCUUAUUUUAACUAAAGUCUCAACAAAUUGCUAUACUGAUAACACAAAAUCAAGGUUUCCAACUUGAUGUGAAUUCGAUCACAACAAAUUUCUAAACUGAUUGUGUGCUGCAUGACUUUGAUAUAUUUUAUGCUCUUCUUAACUCCUUUUCCUCAUGAUUUUUUUAAAAAACUAUGCUUGAUUAUACUGGUAGUGAGACGAGAGGAAUUCAAUCCUAACACAAAGAUCCGAGUGUAUAAAUUAAAACCUUUUUUUUUUAAUUUAGAACUCUUUUAGCUUUAUAUAUGAUGUUUUUACUAUUAUAUAAACAACCAAACCAAAGAGAGUUGCGAUAUUCAGUAUUGAUCAUCAAAAUAUUGAGUAAUAAAAAAUAAAAUUUGUUUUCUUAUAGUAAAGAUUAAUUUUUUUAUAUAUAAAAUUCUAUAUAGAUAUAUAUAUAUAUAUAUAUGAUUGCUAUAUUUUUUGUGUUUUUUUUAUUUGCGUCAAACUGUUACCAUUAUGGGAUAUAAUAUAUUUUGGAGGCGCAAAAUAAAACUAUAACAUGAUAAACAUGAAUGUUUAAAUAGUAAUUUACCACAAAAAAUUACUCCACUAUGAUACUAUAUAUAACGUAUCAAAAAAACAAUUAAUGAUAAUCUAAUUAAUUAAUAAAAUGGGGAAAAUAGCCAGCAAGGAAGUGGCUUCAGAUUACACAGUCUGCUAAAUCAGGAUGACAGCCGAACUUCCAUGAGACUGGGAUUAUGAUAAUUGUCACCAAGGCCAUCUUCCAUUACUUCCCAGAUUACUUCCCAGUUGGCUUUUCAUUUCCAGUUCUAACCCUAGAAUCAGGGCUCAGAUGGUUUUUGCCUAGAACGCAAAAAGCAAUCAGACUGACAGACCCCAUCUUGCUACUCUAAUUUUCAUUUGUUUGCCUUUAAUGAUGUAAAUACUUGCUAGUAUCUCAGAAGUCCAUUGUUAUAAUAUACUUACUGAAAGUUUGCGCUACGGAUGCUUAUCUCCAAAUUAAGUUCUCUCGAUUGCAAGAACUUUCACCUCAUUUGAAUCUAUAGUACUAGAUAAGGAUGAAAAAAUGUAUGAGAAGUGAGUAAAGAUGAGCAGCAGCCAGUAAGAUGGUGGCCAAGACUGCAAAUGGAAAAGCAAUCUAUGGUCAAUUUAUAUAAUCAGAAUCUCUACCUGUUAGAACAUACACCUGCAAAAAUCUUGUGACAGCAAGAGAGACACAACAGAAACAAUACUCUAGACCUAGAAAUUAAACAGGGAAUAAAAAUCAAGUAUGCCAUUCUUUAAGCUCCUCUCUCCUGUUCUCAAUUUCCUGGAGUAGCUUUGCUAGGCCAUCUGCCAGUACAUUUCUAAUAACCAUAAAAUAUAUAUGUUUUUUACACUAUAUUUUUUUAAUGUAUUUUAAAUUUAUUUAAGCUUAUUAAAAAUUAUUUUUAUAAUAUUAAUACAUAUAAGAAACUUUAUAAAUUAAAUACUAAAAAAUAAAAAUUUCAACAUUUUAUAUCUUAAUCCUUACUUCUUGUCAAGGAUAAUAUAUAAUAUAAACUCAAAUCAUAAAAUAUAAUCAUUAAGUAAAAUAUCAUCGGCAGCUGGUCCAACCUCAACACCAUUGUUCCCAGACUCUUCAAACCAAAUCACCCAAACCCGAAACCAACAAGCCAUAAACCCGACUUUAUUGGUAACCCAAUUAGCCUCCUCCACUGUUACCGAGCAAGACCCAUCUCUUUCCUAGUGUUGACUGUUGAAACGGCUAGAAAAGAAAAAAAAAACCACAAUCAAGAAAUAGAUCGGUGGAUAAAACAAAAGAAAUAAAUAAAACGAAUUGCGUUUGUUGAUUUCAUUUUCUUGCAAUUCACGAUGAGAGCCACUACUAGCAUGAGAAGAAGGAGAUGAAAGAGAAGAUCCUGAUCCACCUAAUUUUUCAAUCAGACGAUCAAACGGCACGUGAAACCACGCGUCUCCUCUGUGUCUCUAUUUCUAUCACCUUGUAGCAAUCUCCCCAAGCUAUCAUCAGCCUCAGGAAGGUUUAUUUUGGAAUCCAGAAUAUUUAUUUAUUUAUUUAUGAUUUAUGUUUAAUUACAAUGAUAUGUAAAUAUUUGUAAAUAUAUUGGUGUGAGUUAAUUACUAAAAAGAUUGGGUGUGUGUUUGUAUUUUUCUUAUAUGUUCUUGAAUCUAUUAAGUUGCCUACAUGAAUCUUUUUUAUAAAAUUUAUUUGGAUACACAAGAUCAAUAGUAAAUUCUUUGACAUAAAUAAAUUUUAAUGCUAAAUAAUAGAUAUACUAUUAGUUAAAAACUUAUCAAAAUUUUUAAAUCACAUAAUAUAGCUUAUUUUAAAUAGAAUGCAUUAGAAAUACUAAUACAUUCUCACAACCAGUUUCUUGUACUUUAAAUUUUUUAUUAUGGAUUUUCUAACAACCUCAACCAAAUAAUUAGAUGGCGAGUCCGAUGAACUCUCAACACGUAGGGCUAGGAAAUCCCUUCUCUCUCUUUUUCCAAACUGUUAAUUAGAUUAUAUUUAACAAAAGCUAUUGCCAGCACUUUUAUGAAUGAUUAUUAGAAGGGGCCGAUGCUGUCGCUUUUCUUUGGGCACCCAUUUUUUGCUAAUUCAUAAUUGGACACUAUGUUUCUUCCCUUUUUCACAGAAAAUAGACAGCAAAGUUGAUUAAUAAAUAGAUCAAUGGAACACAUAGCAAGCUAUAACACCAUGCAAAUGUAACAACAGUGAAGGCAGAAUGCAGAGCUCAAAGCCAUCUGUAGCAGGUAAACGUGGUCAGUUUUCCCCUGAUGAGAAAAUCAAAUCCAGUGUUGGCAUGGAAAAUGGCAGCCAGGUAUAUUUCGCAGGUUUAAAGGCGGCAAUUCCACUACUUCACAUGUGAAAGAGCAUCAGUUUGAGUGAGGAAAAGCAAUCUGCAGCUUACUACUCUCAUUUAUGAAGAUGUAUAUUGGAAGACUAAUAACACGUUCCUCAUGACUAAUUUGCUUUCUUCCAUGAAGGUUGAUGGCUGUCAAUUUCAUGGGCGUGUUCCUUUGGCAGGCAGUCACGCUGUGCCUCCGAAAAAGCACACUAUUGACUCGUUGAAAACCAAUCCUGUGAAACUGUUCAUUAUCUUCUUUAAUAUUGGCCCAGUCCCUCCAUUUUGCUUUUCUUACAACAAAAUCUUGAGUUUGUAUAAAGGGAAACAAGAUUAGUAUAUAUCUAUUAGGGGGAAAAAAUAGAGAGGGAGAGGGGAAAAAGGAAAAGCCUAGAGAGCCAAAGAGUAGGCUGAAGAGGAUAAUAGCUGUGCUGACAAAAUUUAUUCAACACCAACACCAUAUAAAAAAUGCAUUAGCCCUCUGAAUUGAACGUCUAUAAAUAGACAAGAAAGAGGAUAAUAGGUGGCUGACAAAAUUUCUGCACCCUCAAAAAACUUGCAGAUGCAUUAUUUAAGAAAAAAUUGAGACAAAGGUUUUUCCUUGAACACCUUCAUAUUUUUAAACCUGAAUGAAUGGCUACAACUCCCCCAACGAGAUUCUCAUACUCAACCUUCUGAAAUCCUGCAUCUGCAAUCAUCGAAGCAAAUUUCUCUUGCAUUCAUCACUUGCAAUAAGUCAUUAAGUAUACCAGACAAAGGUACACACACAAUUAAACCCAGGUUAUCAGCGAGCACAUGCAAUAUAAGCUCCUAGAUAGUCCAUUGUCCUCAUGCCUCCCUCCCCUCUCUCCUCUCUCAGCUAAGGUAAUUUAAUUCCAAUCAGUUAACUCACAGGGAUUCACACAUAGGGUUCAAAUUUAUCAGUUGCAGAUUACUGAGCAGAAAAUAUCUUUCAAAGUGCACAACUAAUGAAUCUAAUAUAAGGCUUACAUUUUCUUCAAAUGAUACUUUAUAUAGUCUAAUUAGAGGGGGGGGGGGAAAAUAUAUAUAUAUAUAGUUAGAUGCACUGUUUCAGAUAAAAAUACAUGCCGAUAACACAUUACUGGCAGUUCAAUGUAAUAAAUAUGAGUUGAUUCUUUUCUUUUUUUUAGCAAAAUGAAUUUUAUAACCUUGAGCCAUGUACAAUGAUCAUUAAAACACUCUUGCAUGCCAUAUUAAAAUCACAUUCUAUCUUGUGCAUAUUCACAUUUGGAAUAUGCAAAAAGCAAUAAUCCAUGUAACCAUGUAAGGUUGCUAUAAAAAUAUCUAGUUUCCACAUUCAAGGAUAAGGCGUUCACUUGCAUACACAAAAUACACCAGUUGUUUUAAUUUUUAUUUUAUGUCUUAUUUUCAGAAAAAGGCUCCGCUGAAGUAUGUAUUGGGAAUAUAGAAAACUUCAAUUCCUUGAUUGAGUUAUAGCAGUAUAUGUAACAUCCAGGGUUCUACAAAGGCAGCACACUAUAGUGUGGACUCAAUUUCUUAGCUUCUAAGAUACUUUGGCAAAAUUGUGGUAAUAUUUGCAAAAGUACAUAGGACAAAAUUAUGACCUGUGGAGGAAAACGACGUAUGCUCUCAACUAAGUACUGAUAAGAAUCCCGAUCACCUGCAACUAGCUCUCCCACAGCUGGAAUGACUGAGAAUGAAUAGUAAUCAUAUCUGCAAGAAAAAGGAACAUUCUUGAAACAGGAUAGAUGAUGCAGUGUUCUGAAAAAUAUGGGGAAAAAAAACAAAUUGAAGUGGAAAGAAAGCUAAGCUUCACUAAGAUUAGCUGGGACAGUAGAAGUCAUCUGCAAUCCAUAGAAUAAAGCUUGAGCAGUGAGCAUAUAUCUUUUUCUUGCUACAAACAAUCAUAAAGUCUUCCAUGUGAGUGCUUUCCACAUGCCAGAGCAUGCAAGGAUUGAAAACUAAUCAACAAAAUUUCAACCACUCAAAUUCAAAUGAAACAGCAAGAUCUUCUUAACAAUUCAAAGUUCAUGUAAUUAGUAAAAGCUAAUUUAUUUCAGGAUCUACAUGCUAUUGUUGUUUUGUUUGUAUUACAACAUCAGCAUAAUGUUAAUCUGGUUCAAUCACAGUAUUUGCCACUUUUUGUACUUCGUCUUGCAACAUCUACAGAACACUAAUCUCCGUAGCCAUGAUGUUUUGACCAUAUUUUAUUAAAGUUCAUCAUCUUCUCAAUCAACAUUAUGCUCCCAGGUAACAAUCUGUUUGCACCCUAGUGGGAUUAAUUGGUUAGGAAACAACAAUUGUAUGUAGACCAACAGCAGGUAUGUAGUGCACAGAAAAAUCAAUUAGAGACAAUAAAAUAAAUCAAUCUACUCUUUAUAAACUUUAGAUUCAUAAUCAAUACAAAUAUAAACUCCUAUAAUAAUAUGAAUAUAGAAAAAUGAAUCCAGAACUCCAACGAGAAAGGUGGGUUAUGGGAGCAUGUGACUUGUAUUAUUGAAUUCGGGUUAGAACUAAGAUGUAAUAUUUCUCUGUCAAUCUCACUUCAUCACACCAAGGCCUUUGUCUCUAUGAUUGACUAUUUUCUAUGGAAAGGAAGAGGCUGGAUAGUUAAUAUUCAAUAAAGAUGAAGAAACCAUGUUAUAGAGCCGGGUAAAUUAGUAAACACCCUAGGUAUGGUGAACUUAUCAUUACAACUCAAAACUUUGAAGAUUUGCAAAAUAUAUAUAUAUUAAGCAUGAUAUUCUAAAUGGAUUUAAAAAUACUACUUUGACAGUAACAAUAUUUUGGGCAUAAAAGAGGGUUUUUAUCUUAUUUACUUGAACAUGGAGGGGGGAUUUUGUCAAAACUUCAAACUUUUGGGUGGUGGCUAUAGUUUCACCACACCUCAUGGGAGUUAUUGUAAUUUAUCCUUUUUGAUUUAAUUUGUAAAAAAACAUUUCACCACCUAUACACUACCAGAAAGGAAAGACUAGCCACUUCUGGCAUAAUUUAUUGACUUGUCAAUUUAUUAAAAUUGAGAAAAAAUUAAACACAGGAAAAAGGAUAUUUUUUGUUGAAAUAAUGCCUAAAACUGAUACUACAAGAAAUGCUAACAUUUAUCCUUUAAUGUAUGUAAGAAGGUGUACUCACAAUUCUUUAAACACAGGAACUUCAACGUGGCUCAGUUCAAGGCAAAGAAAUCUUCCUCCGUGUUUUAAUACCCUAAUAAAAUAACAGAUGAAGAUUGCAUGAAACAUUAAUGUAUAUAACACAAGCUGGAAAAUUUCUGAAGAAAGAAAGGGGACCUUAUAACAGAAGAAUAGCCUGCUGAUCAUACAUAUCGAAAGAGAAGACAUUUACUAAUUGAAUGGAAAACACAUAACAACUAGCACAAAUACACCAUAGUUUAGACUGAAAUAAGACAUUUUGUUUUAAUAAAUUCAUAGUCAUCAUCUAAACGAUUUUCUUGUUAGCUUCAUAUCUUUUAAAAACUCUCCAUGCAGUCGUUGGGUCUCAUAAAAUUUAAACCUAAUAUUUAACUUUCUCACUACCUAAUUCCACUUCUAAUUGUCCUUAUUUCAAAUUCAACAGAAAACAUUUAAUGCAAGUACCUAAUUUGGAGCAAACAAGGUCAACUCUCUAAGUGGAAAACAAAAAUUACCUAGGAACCUCUACCCUCUCAAAAUUUAAGCUGGUAGUGGAUUCAGAUCCCCUUUACUCAGACACUGAUGAAGGUCUUAUCCACAGUAGCACCAUGAUAACUUAAGUAACUUUCUAGACAUAUUGAUCUUGAUAAUAUGCAUGUUCAGUGCUAUUUUUGCAAUUGUAACCAACAAAUGUCAUUGUUAUAUGCAUUUUCUUUGGAGAAAAUAUGUUAUAAACAUUGAUUUUAGAAGAUAAAGGCUACAUUUCCUUUAAUUCAUAACAGUCCAUCGGAUCCUCUAAUUAGAUAAGCCAUCCUUAAAAGCCUGUAACAGAGUAACCUGAUAUCGCAUCAGUAGUGGUGAAAUGAUUAUUUGUCAUGGUUUAGUUUUACAACCUUAAUGAGAGGAUUGUUAGCUUGCUAUUUAUAAUUUAUGUCAAGAGGGUCUAAUAUAAUUUGGGUGAAUAUGUCAACAGCAAGCCACAAAAUUAUGAGUAUAGGUCAUGAGCAUACCUAUACGCUUCAGCAAGAACUUUCUCUAUGUGUGUAACAUUCCUAAUUCCAAAUGCUAUUGUGUAGCCAUCCAUGGUCUUAUCUCCAAAACUCAAGGCUUCAGCAUCUCCUUCCACCCAUAUGAGGGAUUUGUCUUCUCCAAGACCUGCAAGCGUCAAUUAAAAAAAAAGGAAAGAAAACCAUCACUCAUCGAGAAAUCGACAUUAAUAAACUGUAAUUAGACCAUCCAUGAAUUUCACUCAAGUCCUAAUCAUUCCUGAUUCAUACCUCUCUCUAUAGCCCGUUUUCUGCCAACAUUUAACAUGUUUGGGUUUAUGUCACACACAUGUAUCUGUGUUUCUUCCUGUAAAUGAUCAUUAAUGGGAUCUUGAUUUGCUCUACGCUUGAUACUACUUAUACCAUCCAGAAUCCUGAAAGCAACAUCUCCUGCAAUUAAGAAUUCCAAACUCAAGAUCUUAUAACUCAUAAAAACUAUGAGAUAACAAUGAAAAAACAACAAGAAUAAGAAGAUACCAAUCAUCAAUUUUAGCUGAACAAUUUGCUAGAUAGAAGUAGAGCGUGCAUAUUUAAAAGGUGGAUGUAAAGGUUAUAUGAAGAGGGUUUUCCAAGGAUUUAAUACUAGCAAAACUGAGACCAAAGGAAGACUUGGCAUUUUGGUUUCUAGAUUUGUAUGGAUAGAAUCUGAAUCAACUUGAGAUGAAAUGACGAACUUUAAGGGCUCUGGAGACAUUAUGUAAAUUUGCAGCAGAACCAGUUAGCCACUUGCUUUUACACCAUAGUUGAACAAGAGAUUUGCGCAAGCAAGUCUUCUCACUAUUAGUAUUCUUUUGGGUGCUAUGCAAAGGAAAGAGAUGUAUGGGCUCUGGAGACAUUAUCCUUGUAAAUCAGAUGGUUGUUUUUACACAUGGCCACAUGGUGUGGCUUCACCUCCCGAUUUCUAUCCAUUAAAGCUUUUCUAAUCAAAUAAAGUGCUUUUAUUUUCUUUAUAACAUGUCAUAGUUUUAUAUCAGUACUCACCUGUUCCCCCAGCCACAUCAAGAUGCUUCAUUCCAGGAAAUGGAUUCAGCAUAGAAACCAGUCUAGAAAGCAUCAUAGAAAAGUAGCUAAUGUCACCAUGAACCCAAAGUGAAGUAUAAAACAUAACAAGCAAUCAUUAAAAAAUGCAUCCUCAACGUAUUCUGACCUGUCCUUCCAUAACCUAUGUAAUCCACCACUCAUUAAAUCAUUCAUGAGAUCAUAAUUUGAGGCAACACUGCUGAAAACAUUACCAACCAGUUGACUUUUUUCUUCUUCUCGAACAUGUUUGAAUCCUGAAAUGAUUUUUUAAGAAUGUCUAACGUGUGGUUAAGAGGGUUCGUUCAGGAUGUUCAAUUUAACGAGACAAAUCAAAAUGAAAACAAACAAUUAGUAGUUCAAAGAAGGCAGACUAAAAAAGACACACAAGAAGAAGAGGAAUCAUUAAUUACUCAAGAACCUACCAAAGCUAGUGGCAUGUGAAUGCAGUGGAGAAGUGGAAGACAGCAUGGGCAAGAAUUUGCUCCCCAGCUUCCUGCUAACCAAUUUCAGCGCCAUGUCUGCCACCCAGACCGAGCCACACACACAACAUCAAUAAAUAUAUAUAAGAAAAAAAAAAUCAAAUUCGUUCUUAGGAUCAUGGAGCCCAGUUGGAUAAUGUGUCAAAUACGCAAUGGUCAGAAUGCUCUAGCUAUAAAAUUAAAUCGCAUUUGAGAAAAUUAAACUAAGAAAAGAAAGGCAAAAUGAAAGACAGAAAAAAAUAAAAGAAAGCAAAGGGGUAAAACAAAAUCUUUGCCCUCCAGAUUUCAUAAUUAUUUCUCUCAAAUCUCUAUCCAAAUUGGGUUAAAGAAGAAAGAGGAUGAAGAGAAGACAGUAUAAAUUACGUUCAUUCAUCAUACCUUAAUUCAACAGUGAUUUCUGUACCUACUAAUUUACAAACUUCUUCUUCUAUUUCUUUGCUGAUGAUCUCUUUGGUUGUUUUUUGGGCUCAAAGUUAAAACUGUGAAGGCAGUGGUGUUUCGUUUCGUCUCGAAGAAAGUGUUUUCAGAAUUCAAAAUUAAGGUGUUAGGUGAAUUUUUAAAGUAUUGUUUUUUUUUUUUUUGAAAAUAUAUUAAAAUAAAUGUUUUUAUAUUUUUUAAUUUUAAUAUUAAGAUAUUAAAAUUAUUUAAAAAUAUUAAUUUAAUGUUAUUUCAUGCCAAACACAUUUUUGAAAGAUACCUAACCAUAAUUUUCCAUAUACUAAAGUUAUAUGUUGUUAUAAAACUCAAUCUUAUUUAACUUAAUUUAAAGUUUGAUUUAUGAGUUGAGAAGGUUUGUAAUCAAAGAUUUGAAUUAAAAAAUAUAUAUAUUUAUAACAAUUAUAUUAUAAAAUACUAUAAAAGGUAUAGAAAAAGUAUUGUAGCUUUCCCCACGUUUUUUAACUUUAUUCAUUAUUAUAAUUAUAUUAUUAUUAUUAUUAUAUUAUAAAAUAUCUUAAAAAGUACUGUAGCUAUCUUCUUCUUCUUUUUUUAUUUUUUUUUUAAUUUAGUUUGUUAAUGCUAAAUUUGUUUUAUUUAGUUAUCAGACUUUCAUGACACGGAUCUCGGGUUUAAUGAGUUUACCUGGUUUGACGAGUUAACCUGGAAUUGUUUUUCUUUUUAAUUAAUUUUUUUUAUUUAGUUUAGUUUGUUAAUGUUAAAUUUCUUUAUAUUUAAUUAUCAGAUUUUCAUAACACGUAUCCCGAACUUGACGGGUUUACUUGGUUUAACGGGCUAACCCCCAAUUAAUUCUGGGUAAACGUCAAUUUUAUUUUUUCUAUUUAGUUAUCAAACUUUCAUGACGUGGAUCCCAAGUUUGACGGGUUAACUGGUAUGAAGGGUUAAUCCAGUUAAUUUAUAUUUUUUUUCAUUAGUUUUUUUCUUCCUAUUAGUUUUUUUUCUUUGGUUUUUUUUUUUAAUUAAUCUAUUUAAUUAUCAUAUUUUUAUGACACGACCUUAGCAUACCCACAUCUAAUGCUCUUGGGUCCGGUGUUGCAGCUAGACUCACUUAAACUUAAGUCAUGUAAGUUUAAUAUUAUUAUUAAUAUUAUAAAUAUUACUCUUGGGUCAAGCGUUGCAGCUAAACCCAAGACUCUUGGGUAUAACUUUGCAAAAAGACCCAACAAUUUUAAUUUUUAAUUUUUAAUUUUUUUUUAAUAUUUUAUGUUAAAAAAAAUUAACCUACGACAUCGCGCAUGUCAUGUAAUUAGUAAAACACUAAAAGAUGUGAAUUCUUAAUUGUGCAAACAUCAUUAUUCAUCAUCUCAUAUUUUAUUGUUCAAAAUUUUAGGAAUCAAAUUUAAGAGUGAUUAAAUCAAAUGUUUAGCUCUGUUAUCUUUGGUUAUUAAAUUGUUUUUUUUUCUUUUUAAUUUGAUUCUCAUAAGUUAAGUUGUCAUGUUUUGUUUUGGAUUUAUUUUGAUGUACAUGCUCUAUCACCAAUCUUAGUACUCUACUAAGCAAUUUCAUAAUUUUCUCUCCUUAUAGCCACAAGCAAUGUCUGCCUCUUUUUUUAUAGGUCAGUUGCCUCAUAACUCCUCAGGUAUGCCACAUUCUAAAUGGGUCUUGGAUUUUGGUGCUUCCCAUCAUAUGUCUCCAGAUUCUUCAUCUUUUACCCAUGUGUCCCUUUCAUCCUUCAUUCCUGUUAUGACUGCCAAUGGCAUUCUCAUGCCCUUAGUAGGUGUUGGUUUUGUUGUCACACCUUACUUGUCUCUCCCUAAUAUUUAUUUUAUUUCAAAACUCAAAUUAAAUCUUGCUUAUAUUGGUCAAAUAUAUGAUUCUAGUGAUUAUUUAGUCAUAUUUUUUUGGUUCUUUUUAUCGUGUACAGGAUCUGCAGUGUCAAAAUAUGAUUGGAACAAGCCGCAGGGAGAAUGGACUACAUAUUUUGAAUGAGUUAAAAGUGUCAGUUGUCAUUGCUACUACUACUACUAGUAUUGAUUUCUCUUCCUUUCGUUUGAGUCAUUCAUCUUCUAGUUUUUAUUUAUGGCAUUCUUGUCUAGGUCAUGUUUCGUCUUCUCGUUUAAUAUUUUUGGCAUUCACAGGAGCUUUAGGAAAUUUAAAAACUUAUGAUAUUUCUGAUUGUAAUGGAUGUAAACUGGCAAAAUUUUCCGCUUUACCUUUUAAUCGAAGUAUUUCUAUUUCUUCUUCACCAUUUGAUUUGAUUCAUUAUGAUGUAUGGGGACCUUCUCCUAUUUCCACAAAAAGACAGUCUCGAUAUUAUGUUUCAUUUAUUGAUGAUCAUACUCAUUAUUGUUAGGUUUAUCUAAUGAAACAUCGUUUUGAUUUCUAUGAGAUAUAUACAGCCUUUUGAGCGCUUAUUAAAACUCAACAUUCUAUUAUAAUCAAAUGCUUUAGGUGUGAUUUGGGUGGAGAAUAAACUCUUAAUAAAUUUUAUCAAUUGCUUUCCUUAGAUGGAAACCAUUCACAAAACUUCAUGUACAUAUACUCGUAAGCAAAAUGAUGUUGCUGAAAGAAAACAUAGGCAUAUUGUCGAAACUGCUCGUUCUCUCUUGUUGUCUGCUUCUGUUCCUAAUGAGUUUUGGGGAGAAGUUGUCCUUACUUCUGUAAGUUCGAUUAAUACAAUCUCAUCUUCUCAUAGUUCAAGUUUGUCUCCUUUUGAAAAGUUAUAUGGGCAUGUCCCUGAUUAUACCUCCUUUAGAGUUUUUUAUUGUACUUAUUUCGUUCUUUGUCCUCAUGCAGAAUGUAGUAAGUUGUUCUCUUGUUCUGCUAUUUAUGUCUUUUUGGGUUAUGGUGAAGGUAAAAAGAGGUAUCGUUGUUUUGAUCCAAUAACUCAAAAAUUUUAUGUGUCUCGUCAUGUUGUCUUUCUCGAGCAUAUACCUUUAUUUUAUAUUCCAUCCACUACUUAUAACUUGACUAGACUUGAUAUUAUUCAUAUCAAUCCUUUUUUAAAGGAUUUUGAUAAUAUAUCAUCACAGGUUCCUAGUACCUCAAAUACCAUUUCUCAUGUUCGACCAAUUUGUACUCAUCAUCCUACAAGUACUGACACUUUACUCUCUGGCACACCUGAAUCUCCAUUCUCAUCUACAACCCCCCAAGCUUAAUAUGAGAUUGUGGAUCCACCUCUACUACUUCAAUUCAUACGCAUUCGUAUAUAAACCCCAAGUUGAAAUUAAUUAGAAAAAAAAUCAAUAUUUAUGGAGCAAGAUUAAAAUAAGUAAAAAAAAAACUAGGAAGUCAAUCUAACUAUUAAAGUGUGGGAAUGAAAAAAAUUACAAGAUAGAGGAAGUAAAGUGUAUAAAACGAGAGGAAGAAAUUCUAGGAAUUAAUAAGACAAUAGCCAAACAAAGCCAAGUCCUAAUUAGAAAGGGGUAUAAAUACAUGUGAGAGAGUAAGAUGGAGACUUUUCUUCUCCAUAAAAGCUAGCGGAAACCGUAAAGAACAACUCUUCCCCAUUUUAAUUUCAAAACAGAAAUACUUUGUAUAUUCCCCUUACCUAGCGCAAGAGUGAAAGAAGAAUAAUUGUAAGGUGAAAAAUCAAGAAUUUGAAGUAGAGAAAGAGAGAUGGAACCGGCUGAAACAAAAAAUAAAAAGAGAAGAAGGAAAAUUGAAAGGGAGGAGAAUAAUAUCACCCAAGUACUCCCUCAAAAUGCUUCCAAAUUCGUGAGGUAAGAGUAAUCCUUUACUCUUGGAACUUGUCAUCGGAGGUGUUAGGUUGUAUGAGAAGAAAGCCCCAAAUGAAGUGAUUUAGGAUGCUUGAAUUUAAUUAGGGUAAAUGAAAAAUCAAUGCAAAUUCAUACUCUAGAGCAUAAAUAGUUUAGGAACACAACAUUUUUAACUAGGAUUGAUGAAGGUUGGAGUUGUUAGGAAACCCUUACCAUUCAACCAAAAGAAAAACAAAUAUAAGGGAAUGGGGAGUCUCCAAUGGUAUUAUACUAAUAUAAUGAUGAUGAAGUGUGCAGUAACUGAAAUUAUUAUUAUUUUUUUACUUUUUUUCAUAUCUCUUGAUUAGCACUUAUAUGAUUUAUGUUGGAGCUUAAAGUUGUAUGAAUCAUGUUAUAAUGAAAAUCAAAUAUAAAAAGAAGAAGAAGAAGAAAGAUUUGAUGUCUUGAUAAGGAAUGAGCUUCAAUUGCUAGUUCCUAAUAGAGUUUAAACGUAAUGGAAUCCUAUAAUGAUGAAAAUAUGCAUAGAAAAUGUUUGAUUAGUGUUUAAAUCCAUGAAUUCAAAUCUUGGCAAUUUGAUGAUGGAAAUACCAACACAAAUUGGACAUAGAAGAUGAUAGAAAUUGCUAUAAUGUUUAUAUGAAAGAUGUAGAGGAAUGAGUUAGCUAACAUUUGGCACUGGUCUUGCCUCAAUUGGAGUUGUAUAACUCUAGAUAUGGGCAAAAUACCAUCAAGAGGUCAAACUAUCUGUAACAGGACAAUUUGGUUCUCAUAAUUAAAACUACUGUUAGAUAUAGAAGAUGAUAGAAAUUGUUGUAACAUUUUAUAUGAAAGAUGUAGAGGAAUGAGUUAGCUAACAUUUGGCACUAGUAUUGCCUCAAGUGGAGUUGUUUUACUCUAGAUAUGGGCAAAAUACCAUUAAGAGGUCAAAUUGUCCGUAACAGGACAAUUUUGGUUCUCAGAAUUAAAACUAUUGUUAGACAUAGAAGAUGAUAGAAAUUGUUGUAACGUUUUAUAAACAAGUUUUAGAGAAAUGAUUUAGCUAACAUUGGGACCUAGUCUUGCCUCAAUUGGUGUCAUAACCCAAUUUUGGGUUAUUCCCCAAAUUUCACUUUUUUUGAAAAUAAAAAAUCAAAAAAUAAAAUAAAGGCCGGCAAUGUGGAGAAAGCCGAUAAAAAAGACUGCAAAAAUCGAAGGUCAAAUUAAAUGCAAAUUCGAAGGUCAAAUUAAAUGAUUAUUGGAUGAAUUUGCAUAAAAUUUAAGUCCAAUGACACAAAAAUUGAGGGACCAAUUUGGAAACCCGAAAAAAUGUUUUGCCUAUAAAUAGCAGCUUUUAACUCAAAGUUAAGGGGGGGUCAUUUUGUAAGGGGGUAAUUUUGACAACAUUAGAAAAAAAUACAAAAAAAAACCUAAACCUAAACCCUUUUUUCAAGAGCAGCCGCUCCCCCCACGUUUUUUGUUUUUCCUCUCCGAGCAGCCGCCACCCCCUUUGGCCUGCGAUUUUUUGCUCCUGAAACAGCCCCUUUGCCUUGACAAAAGCAAGCCAGCCAGCUGCUAUUUCCCUUCCCAAAAAAUCCAAUAGGUCGCCGCUCUCCCUUCUCUUUGACAGCACAGAUUAGCCGGCCACUCAUCCCUCCCCCUGAUUUUUGCAAAACGAAACAGAGGGCACAAGACAGCCCCUGAUUCUCUUCCUCAGAACCAUUUCCAGCGGCCGGCCCUAUCUUCUCCCAAUUUUUCCAACACUGUAGCCGCAGCCCCCUACUCCUUUUUGGAAAGGAAAAAAACGGAGAACCAAAGACUUCACCCCUUAUUUUUCUCCCUCACCGAUCUGCCAUCCUCCAGCUCCCAGAACCAGAGCCCCAUUUCCAUCUUCUCUAAAAACGAACCAGAACUGGCCGCUACCCCCAUUUACUUAUCUCCCUCUCACGGACAAGCUCUCUUCCUCGGCUAACAGACCCAGCUCUCUCUCCCUUAACCUUUCCACAGCCGGUGACAGAUAAGUAAUACCAGAACCCAACGCAGUUCCUAUGCCUCUCCGCCCCCAGCUGGAAUUUCUUCACCUUCAACCCACAGACCAGCGGCUAGGCCAGCAUCACCAAACAGCCCCAUCUCCACCGAUCAGAGAACGGGCAGAGCCGUUCUCCAUUUCUGCAGACCCACGGUCUCCUUCGGAUAGCAGGUUUUUCCUCCAUAGUCCCAGCCAUUUCCAGCCACACCCAGCUCACUGCCUCCAGCAGUCUUCGUCAUCUCCUUCGGCGCCGUCUCCAGCUCCUCCACCAAACACAGCGGCGGCCCCGCCGUCUUCUUGUCCCCUCAGAGCCGACCGCCGCCUGGGGAAACGAAAAGAACAGAUCUGUAAUGAGCAGAUCCGAAAUGGGCAGAAGAAAAAAAAUUUAAAAACAGAUCUGAAACAAAAAAACUAAAAUCAACUGCUUUGUUUGUGUUUUUUUGUGUGUUUGCAGGUGACCGGACCCUCACCGCCGGCUGAAAAUUGAAGAGGAGAAGAAGCCGCUCCAGGCGCCUUUGUUUUUUCUGGUUUCCAGCAGCGGCGCGUGAACCCACGCGCCGCCAGUGACGGUGGUGCGUGGAUCCACGCGCCGGCACUGUUCAUGCAGCCCCCAGAAGUCCUUCCCUGCAAUUCCUGGAGUGUUGGGGGACUAUUUUGUAAAUUUUAAGUUAUUUAAUGUAAUUUUUAUUUAGUUUUUGAAUUUGCAUUUUUGUAAAUGUGAAUGUAAAAGAAAAAAAGAAGAAAAGAAAAUAAUAAAAAAAAAGAGUGUGUGUGUUGGUGUUCUUUUGUUAUUUUAUGUCAUUGAAUUGUAAAAAAUAAAAAAAAAUAAAAAGAAAAAUGUUUUUAAUAUUUUAAUGCACAAAUUCUAAGGAUGGAUAAAAUCAUGUUGUAUUUUCCAUGAAAAUGUAAGAACAUGUUUCUACAUAUAUUCUGGGAAUUUAUAACUGAUGUAUCGUAGCUUUAGAAGUGGGCUAAAAUUCUAUUUUAAAAAUUACAUUAAGCUCACGAAGCUUGAAUGUGGUGUGUGUAUUUUGUUUACAAAUUUUUUAUGAUAAAAUUGCAAGAACAAAGAAGGAUUUAAUAUUUUGAUCGGAUCAAAGGUGUAGAAGUACAAACUUGUACGGAAGUUGUAUUUCUAAAUUCCGAUGAAAAGACAAAAUUUUAAAACUUCUUUAACACAUCAAGUCCACGGAGCAGCUUACCUCAGGUAGGGUGCGUUAGGGGUGCUAAUACCUUCCCUAACCACAAUCAGUUCCUUACCCACGAAUCUCUUACCAUGACCAGUCCACCAGGGUUUCCUAGUAACCUCAAUUAAAUACUAGGUGGCGACUCCUAACAAACCAAUUUAAGCAAUACAACAACGAGACAUAAAAUCGUCAGCCGAUGCCGCGCGCGGGAUUUUUUCGACGUGCGACAAUUGGAAUUAUAGAACUUCAUAUAUAGGCAAACUACCAUUUAGUGGACAAGCUGUUUGUAACAUGACAGAUUUCACUACCUGACUUCAACUAAUUUUAAAAUAGCUGAACAAUAGAAUUUUGGGCAACCUCAUAUAAGAAAGUUGUACUUAAGGAUGUUAAAUUUCACUAGGAUUUGGCCCUAUAUGAAUCGAAGCUCUAGAACUCCAUUUAGAGACUAAAAAUUACAGACUGGUCAAGUUGUAAAUUAAAGGUAAGACAAAUUUACAUGUGUGUAGAAGACGAGUGAUUUUGGGCACGCUAUUGAUUCAUGUUGAAAUUAAUUCUUCCGAAUCAUGGGAGAUGUAUAUGUCAACAUUCAAAACAAACAUAUAAAAAGGUCUAGACGGAAAUAGAUGCUGAAAUUUUGUUGACAGUCAUAGAUACUGAAAGCUCGUUGAUGCAAAACUGAGUCGUGCGAACACUUCAACGUGAUAUACUAACUCCAAAGAAAUACACUUGAUAUGUAUAUGUACAUUACGAUGAGGAAAUGAACAUGCAUAGAUAGUAACAUAUGUAUAAUGAAUGAAUAUAGAUUGUCUAUAACAUUUAGCUUGAAGGAAUCAUGACCAAAGACUUCUUUGUGAAUCAAGAGGAGCGAUCGACCAGGAUUGGAUCUUCUAUUGGAGGAAGUCAAGAGGCAAGCGAAGCAGGUGCAUGGUUUCCCUCUCCUUAAUGCUUAUGCAAUUUAAAAUCUCCUUAAUGAAUGCAAUUACAAUAAUAUUAUGUUCAAAAUAAAUAAAGUAUGGUGUGUUAAUGACACAUUAGCUUCGGCUAAUGGCAUCCAUGAUAGGGAUAUCGAGAAAUGAAAUACAACAUUAGCUUCAGCUAAUGGCAUCCGUGAUAGGGAUGCCGGGAAAUUAAUUAUAAAGAUAGCUUUUGCUAAUGGCAUCCGUGAUAGGGAUGCCGGGAAAUUAAUUAUAAAGAUAGCUUUUGCUAAUGGCAUCCACGUUAAGACACCUGGAAAUGAUCAAUAAGGCUUGAUUUGUAAAGGGUAUCCAUAUUUGGAUGACCUAUAAAAUUUGAUAAGUAUAAUUGCCUAAAAAUAUAUAGGUUGGACUAUGCAAGGUUGAAGAUCUAAUAAAACCAAUUAAUCAAAGUUACUAGGUUCAUGUAAGAAGAUAAGAGAAAUAAAUUAAGAAUAUAACAAUAUGGAUUGUUACACGUGAGUCUAUAAAACUACCAGAUUUUGUUUAUUCUUGUUAUUCUUUAUCAUUUACUUUCUUUUUAGCUUUUGUUCAUUGUCUCUCUGAGCCAUCUUCCUAUAAAGAGGCAAUUCUUGAUCCUCUUUGGCAGCAAGCUAUGGAUGAGGAACUUUCUGCUUUGCAUAAGACAGAUACUUGGGAUUGGUUCCUCUACCUCUUGGUAAAAGUGUUGUUGGGUGUAUAAGAUCAAGACUAAUUCUGAUGGGUCUACUGGGCGAUAAAAAGCUAGGUUGAUUGGAAAAGGAUACUCUCAACAGUAUGGUAUGGAUUUUGAGGAGACAUUUGCCCCUGUUACAAAAAUGACUAUUAUUCGUACUCUUAUUGUUGUAGCUUCAGUUUGUUGAUGGCAUAUCUCACAACUUGAUGCUAAAAAUGCCUUCUUGAAUUGAGAUCUUUAAGAAGAAAUUUAUAUGGCGCCUCCUCCUAGUGUUUCACAUGACUCUGGGUAUGUUUGUAAGCUCAAGAAAGCGUUAUAUGGUCUCAAACAAGCACCUUGGCUUGAGAAAUUUUUUGUUGUGAUCUCAUCUCUUGGAUUUGUUUCUGGUAGUCAUGAUUCUGCUCUUUUUAUUAAGUGCACUGAUGUCGGUCAUAUCAUUCUAUCUUUAUAUGUAGAUGACAUGAUUAUUAUUGGUGAUGACAUUGACGGUGUCUCAGUUUUGAAGACAGAGCUGGCUAGAUAGUUUGUAAUGAAGGAUUUGGGUUCUCUUCGAUAUUUCCUGAUUAUUGAGGUAGCUUACUCACCUAGAGGUUAUCUUCUUUCUCAAUUGAAAUAUGUUGCAAAUAUUCUUGAGCGGGCUAGACUUACUGAUAACAAGACUAUAAACACUCUUAUUGAAGUUAAAGCAAGGUACUCUUUUUCUGAUGGUUUACCUUUGGUAGAUCCUACUUUAUACAAUAUUAUUGUUGGGAGCUUGGUAUAUCUCACCAUUACUCGUCUAGAUAUUGCAUAUGUUAUUCAUGUUGUUAGUCAGUUUGUUGUUCGAAAAAUUCUGCAUGAAAACAACUCCUUGUCAAACCUUCCUUCACAUAGCCUCAUCCCCAAACCCGAAUUGAACACUUGGGGGCAUAAUCAAGCUAGGGGGCAAUAAAGAAACAUAUGAUAGGGGUGGCUCCAUGAUUCCCAUUCUAAGAAAAUGUCGAGCAAAAUUGGCAACCCUUGAGAUAAAGGGGCGGAGGACAAAGAAGUUUGAUGAUAUCAAGUCUUUCGUAGAGGUCAAAAUCACAAGAGAUGACUCGAGUAAGCAGGAGCGAAAAAGCCAUCGAAGUUCACUGCCAACACUCCAACUUUUGAGAAAAGAAACACACCUUGAAGAAAUGGGGACCUAUAUUUCAAAUCAGGUAAGGAUGCAUGCAUAUCAUCUAACCUAAAAAAAAAAAAAUAUUUGCACAUAUUUUUGAAUUGUUAUAGGAAAAUCCUUAAUGAGGUCUAACAAGAUGGUGGAAAAAGAAAGAAGCAUUGUGGUAAUGAAAUAAAUAAUCGGUUUUGAUCAUGGAAUAAAAGGACGAUGGGAUGAACCCUACCAUUAGGAAAAUCCCAAAGAAAUGAAUAGAUCAACCUUGCAAUCGGGAAGCCUCGAGUUUUCAACUCUUGCAGUCAGGAAACACCGAGUUUUCAAAUCCUAUGAUCGGGAAUUAUCAGGAAGCACCAAGUUUUCCAGCCCUGCUUCUGUCAUCCCCUCAAAGACUUCGCCAGGUAAGUCCUAUUUUUCACACUUGUCAUAUCACAUUUUUUCCAUUUGGGUAGGUCACCCAUCACAACGAGACCGCUUUUUCAUAUUCUUUCCAUCUGGGUAGGUCACCCAUCAUAAUAAGACCGUUUUUUCAUAUUCUUUCCAUCUGGGUAGGUCACCCAUUACAAUGAGACCACACUUCAUAUUCUUUCCAUCUAGGUAGGUCACCCAUCAUAAUAAGACCGUUUUUCACAUUUUUUUUUUCCAUUUGGGUAGGUCACCCAUUACAAUGAGACCACACUUCACAUUCUUUCCAUCGGGGUAGGUCACCCAUCAUAAUAAGACCGCACUUCAUAUUUUUUCCAUCUGGGUAGGUCACCCAUUACAAUGAGACCGCACUUCAUAUUUUUUCCAUCUGGGUAGGUCACCCAUUACAAUGAGACCGCACUUCAUAUUUUUUCCAUUGGGUAGGUCACCCAUUACAAUGAGACCGCACUUCACAUUUUUUUCAUUUUGGGUAGGUCACCCAUCACAACGAGACCGUUUUUCAUAUUCUUUCCACAUGGGUAGGUCACCCAUUACAAUGAGACUACACUUCAUAUUUUUUCCACUCGGGUAGGUCACCCAUCACAAUGAGGCCAUCAUUUUUUCUGGGUAGGUCACCCAUUAGAAUGAGACCAUUCUCCAUUUUUUUUUACCUGGGUAGGUCACCCAUAAUAAUGAGGUCAUUCUUCCCCCUGGGUAGGUCACCCAUAAGAAUGAGACCACUCUUCCCCCUUUCCACUCGGGUAGGUCACCCAUCACAAUGAGGCCAUCACUUUUUUUCUGGGUAGGUCACCCGUUAGAAUGAGACCAUUCUCCAUUUUAUUUUUACCUGGCUAGGUCACCCAUAAUAAUAAGGCCAUUCUUCCCCCUGGGUAGGUCACCCAUUACAAUGAGACCACUCUUCCCCCUUUCCACUUGGGUAGGUCACCCAUCACAAUGAGGCCAUCAUUUUUUUUCUGGGUAGGUCACCCGUUAGAAUGAGACCAUUCUCCAUCUUUUUUUUACCUGGGUAGGUCACCCAUAAUAAUGAGGCCAUUCUUCCCCCUGGGUAGGUCACCCAUAAGAAUGAGACCACUCUUCCUCCUUUCCACUCGGGUAAGUCACCCAUCACAAUGAGGCCAUCAUUUUUUUUUUGGUAGGUCACCCAUUAGAAUGAGACCAUUCUCCAUCUUUUUUUUACCUGGGUAGGUCACCCAUAAUAAUGAGGCCAUUCUUCCCCCUGGGUAGGUCACCCAUAAGAAUGAGACCACUCUUCCUCUUUUCCACUUGGGUAGGUCACCCAUCGCAAUAAGACCAUUUUUCCUGGGUAGGUCACCCAUUACAAUGAGACCACUUGUUACACAUUCUUUUGUUUUGGUUAAAUGAGGUCGCCAGAUGGGAUCUCAGGUAGGUUUGGUUAAAGGGAAUCGCUAGAUGGGAUUUCAGGUUGACUGAGCUACACACAUUUUUUAGUUCCAGUUGAAUGAGGUCGCCAGAUGGGAUCUCAUGUAGCUUUGGUUAAAGGGAAUCGCCAGAUGGGAUUUCAGGUUGACCGAGCUACAACAUUCUUUGGUUUUAGUAUAGGAGAUCGCCAGAUGGCAUCUCAGGUUAACGAAAAGAGAGAGAGAAAAAAAGAUAAAGAGAGAGAAAGAAAGAAAGAAAGACAAGAAAAAAAUAAGGUCUUAUUCAACAGUGUUAAAAAGACAAGCAAACAAGUUUUUCUUUACAAAGCUUACUAUGUAAAACAUUGAGGAGUUUUGCUUCGUAAGCAUUGUAAAGAGGGGGCAUCUGUUGCUACCCAAUUUUUGACCCAUGUUUUGAUAUAUUUUCAAAUAAAUCCAAAAAUAGAGAAAAACAAUGAAAAUCCAAAAAAAUAUGUUUUUUAAUAUUCUCGUCAUUUUAGCAUUUUCAACGUCGUCUAGAAAAGAAUUUAAAUUUUUAAGGUCUUUCGAAUGCGUUCGACUUUUCACGCGUCAUUUUUUAAAAUCAUUGAUUUUCCUCAUCGAGUUGAUGUUGAUAUUGCUCAUUUUCAAAAAAUACAAAAAAUAUAGAAAAAUCAAAUUUAAAUUAAAGGGGGGGAAAUUUGAUAAAGGUAGCAAUAUUUCUACCUAUAAAUACUGGUUUCCUCAACACACUCAAGGGGGGGAAUUUUGCAAUUAAAGGGGAGGCAACACCAAAGAGAAAAAACCUAGAAAAGGCUUAGCUUUCUUCUCCCUCACCCGGGAGCAGCCGCCGCUCACCCCCCAUCCAAACAGAGACCAGACCCGACCAUUCCUUCCCCUGUCAUCUCACGCUCAACCCUCUCUCCCAAAACCAGAGCAGCCACCCAAACACCCCCCGAAUUUUGUUCUUCUUCCUCUUCUCCGAUAGGCUUGCCAACGGCCACAACCCGAAGCCACACAUAGCUUCCCCUCACAAAUAAACCUCCAGCCUUCCACCAUCUCCUUCUCACUUCCCCAUCACCCAAAAAGACCAAGCGGCCAUCUCUGCUCUCCCUCUUCUAAGCCGACAACACAGACGCCUCCACCACCAGCCAGCCACCACAGCCUUCCUAUCAGCAACGACUGCUUCCCCUUCGGUUUCCUCUCCCAGCGGCGGCCGAACAGCAGCGCCGGGGCAACACUUUCAUCACUCCUCCAAGCCAUCAACAACGCCUUCUUCUCCCUCAGCAGACGACCAACAACAACGGCGAAGCAGCACCGACAGACCAGCCGCCUCCCUAUCUUCCCCGAUCUCUUCCUCUCCAUCAACACCGGAGAUUCCUCCAGUAGCAACCAACACACGGCGCCCACAAAAUCACCUCCAGAACUGCCCCGCAGUGGCCACCGCAGCCGGCCAUCACUGGAUCUGCAACCAACGAAGGAAGAGAAACAGAUCUACAAAACAAAAACAGAUCUAAAAAUGAAACAAACAAACUAAAAUCAACUGCCUGUGUUGUUUUCAGGUGCUUUGCAGGUCGCCGCCAGUGUUGGGAGACUGAGAAGAAGAAGUCGAUCCCGAUCCCCCCUGUCUCUGGAGUUUCUUGCGGCGGCGCGUGGAGUAGACGCGCCCGCUGUUUGCUGCCCCAGAAGCCUUCCGCCUAUGUUCCCGUGCACUGUUCCUGCAUAUUCUAGAAGCCUUAGGAUGUGUUGGGGCUAUUCUGUAAUUUUAAAUGGUUUUUGAUGUAAUAUUUUUAUUUAGCAUUGAUUUUUAUUAUUUUUAUUGUGGAUGUAAAAGAAAAGGAAAAGAAAAGAAACAAAAAUAGUGAAAGUGUAUGGGUGUACUUGUAUUUGUUUUAUCAAUUGUUUUAUUUUUUUAUGAUAAAAUUGCAAAGAUUAAAGAAGAAUUUAAUAUUUUGAUUGGAUCACGGUCAAGAAUUAUUAACUUAUACGUAAGUUAUAUUCUAAUAUCCGAUAAAAGACAAAAUUUUAAAACUUCUUUAACACGUCAAAUUCGCGAAGCAGCUUACCUCAGGUAGGGUGCGUUAGGGGUGCUAAUACCUUCCCUAACCACAACCACUCCCUUACCCGCGAAUCUCUGACAAGACCAGUGUAUCCGAUUUCCUAAUAGCCUUCAAUAAAUUACUAGGUGGCGACUCCAAACAAACUCAUGCAUGCAUAACGCAACAACGAUAAAAAAUUGCCAGCCCGAUGCGGCGUGGAUUUUCCGACGUGUGACAGUGAGGAUGACAUGUCCUUAGAUGCCUAUCAAGAAGAGGCACAUGCGCCAUCAACUGAUUUUGCCUCUUCCAGCGCGGUUUCCCAACGCAGAGGCGGCGUGCCUUCGCAGCGGAAUCAAUUCACCUACAAGUACGAGGCACAGUGGAAGGACGAUCUUUCAAUGUAAGUUUGUUAAGGUUUUAUUUUUUUUUCAAAAAAUUAUAACAUAAUUUAUGAACAACUAAUCAAUAUUUCAUUAAUUUAAUUUAAUUUCAUGUUCACAAAAAUUAAGGGCGUCCAAGUAAUAUGAUCAACGUUUAAAUUGUAGAUGGAGAUUCCAUUAUUUCAAUGGAGUUACGUAUCUAGACAUCCUGAAUGGAUACCUCAAAUCGAUGCAUGGUUUGACAGAUUUUAUGUUGGUGUUAAUUUCUAAUUUCCAAUGUAUUUCUAAUAAAUUAUUAAUAUAAUUGUAAAUAAAUUAUUAUUUUUAUUUAAAAUUAAUUAUUUAUACACAGGACAAAUUCGACUGGUACAGUGUGCAUGACACUAUUGUGAGGAGGGUGCGGGAAAAUCACGCAACAACUAGGUAACAUCGAAAACAAUACAAGAUUUUUUUAGAAAAAAAUUUAUGUUUCAAAAUCUAAUUUCUUGUUGUGGAAGUAGGUUGCGUGAUUUUUGAUAGGAAGCACAAAAAAUGCAAAAAAAGCUACGAGGGAUUUCAAACUAAUAUACAUCCCGGUAGAUAUAUGGCCGAACUAUCUUGAGCUCGUGAUGUCUGAGCGGUUCACACGAUGCUCACAGUCUGGUGCUGGCAACCGGAAUCGGCUAAUUCAUGGCUCGGUGACAAUGCACACUGGCGGCUCCGUUCCAUUUGCUGUAUUUGCGAAACGGUUGGUAAGAUUAAUUUAAAUGAAAUAUAUCAUUAAAUUAAGUUGUUGUUAAUUAAUUUGUUUCAUUAUAGGCUACGUCUCUUGGACAUGAGCCGAGCCCAAUGGAGUUGUUUGUUGAGACGCAUAUGCGGAGUCAAGAUCGUCAAAAGGGGGCACAAUAUUUCAUUGACAGUCGUGCUCAACACUUUGUGGUAUGUUUGUUCAACCAUUUUAUUUUGUAUGUUAUUAUUUUUAUUGAAUUGAAUAUGAUGAUUACUUUUUCAUUUUCAGGAGACUUAUAAUAGCCGAUUGAGGGAGAGAUACAGGGACAAUCCUUCGACCCAUCUGGAUUUCGAUCCGGAUUUGUUGAUGGAGGUUGGAUCAUCUAGUGGACCCGAUAAAAAUCAGGUGUACGGGCUCUCCAACAUUACGGCCGAAAACUUGCGGGCGGCCCGUAGUGUCUCAACCAUUGGGAGCUCCUAAUUAGUAUUGUGCAGCCAAUCUAAAGAGUUUGUGGCCUUGCAGCAACACAUGGCUUAGCUCACCAAAAAAUACAACCACCUAUAGGCAAGGUAUACACAACUCUCGGUGAAAUUAUGAACAACUUCGUCAAAUGGUCACGAACAUGACAUCACAUAAUGGUGAUACAUGUGUGCCUCCUCCUUUUUGGCCGUAUAACAAUCAACCUCCUCCUUCAGCUCCACCAUUAUGUUAAUUUGUAAUGAAUAUUAUUUAACUUUAAUAGUUAAUUUAAUAUAUUUUUUAAACACAUUCAAUUUGUAAUGAAUAUUAUUUAACUUUAAUAGUUAAUUUAAUAUUUUUUUUGAAACACAUUCAUUUUGUAAUGAAUAUUAUUUAACUUUAUUUUUUUGUUUUUGAUGUUUAAUAAAAAAUUUAUCUGCAUAAUUGGUUUUUUUUACUAUUAAUUUAUAUAAUUUUAUAUUAUAUAUUCUAAAUAUUUUUUAAAAAACAUAUUUAAAAAUAAUCAUAGAGGGUUUUACCAACGGACUGUAUCGGUCGGCAUUUGACAAAGAGCAGGAAAUGUCAAUCUUACGAAUUAAUUUACAGAUGGAAUACAUUUUUUGGCAUUUCACAGUAGUUGGGUGCAAAUUUCACAAUCAACAACGACUUGACCAACGGAUAUCGUCUGUCGGUAUUUCACACACUCAUCGAAGGAAUACAUCCGUCGAUAUAUUUCAAGCGGGAUUUUUUUUACGCGUAAUUUCCAUUUGUAAAACCAUUGGCAAUUGUUUUUUUUUACCAAACGAUGUAGCGACUGAAUGAGGUAUUACCAAUGAAAAGAAAGCAAACAGAAGAUUUCUGUAGGGAAUGUCGUUGGUAAAAAAAUUACUAACGAACUUGGAAUCAUAGACGGAUGGAAUAGUUCCGUCUGUAAAACAGUGAAAUCUUGUUGUGGGAAGUGGCAUAGUAAAGACAUCUGUCCUGCAGCCCAGACACUGUUCAGUGUUCAUCCCAUAUCAUGAGUUUUAGAAGUCCAAAUGACCUCCAUUUUUUUUUUCCUGGAAAGCUAAGUCAAUUUCCUACAACUUUAAUGUUUUCAAGUGGACCCAGUUCUGAUGCUAGAAAUUUCAUUUUAUUCUGACAAUAAGAUAAGGAUUUUCACAAAGUCAAGAGUUGGCCACCCACUCAACAAUUAGUCAUCAUAUCAAUAAUUCCGAAUUUUGGCCUAUAAAAGGAGGCAUUUGCCAUGUAUUUUGGGGCUUGGUGGUUCAGAUCAAGAAGCCCUUCCUCUCUCUCUUUAUAGUUUUUGUAAUUCUUAAGUUUUGCUUUCAUUAAUAUCUUGUUUAUGUUUUUCAUUUCCUUUCCUUUCCUUAGUUAACUUGUAUCUUAUUUAUGUUCUUGUUGUUUAUUUAUGUUUCUCUUCUUCAUUAUGUUUAGCUAAGUUUAUUAUGUCAAGGUAAAAAGGUUACACUAAUGGUGUAAGAAUAAGUAUAGUGUAAACUCAACAUGAACCUUAAUGUUUAAUAUUAACAUGUCUUAUCUUUUUAUCUUACUAAUUCUUAAUACCUUGCUUGUUAAAUGGUUAAUCUAGAUUUGUGUUGUUUAACACUUGGUACAACAAAUGCUUGGCACUCUCAUAGCCCAACCGUAUGGUAUUACCUACACCUGUGCUAUGAAAGGAACUUGAUUUGUUGUUAACAUAAGUUAGCAUCAUGAAUUCCUGACAAUAUUUAAAAGUUUGGUGUUAUGUAAACAAGAUAAUUAAUAUGAUCAUGUUAACAAUUUAUAAUGAGCUAUUAAUGACAAAUCAUCCGAUUGGAACCUCCUUCGUGUGUGGUUUCCAGUUGAGUAAUAAGAGUUUAUACUAUACUUGUUUCAAAUACCAUCAGUGGAUACUCUAACCUUGACAUUUGUUUUUAUCAUUGUUUAAUCCUUACAUUAAUCUUCCAUCUCAAAGUUCUCAUUAAUUUAUUCAUCCUCUUCUUUUUAUUAUUAUUAUUAUUAUUAUUAUUAUUAUUCUUGUUAUAUUUUAUGUACGUUAAGUAUGCUCUAUGUUUGAUCAAGGAUCCUGAUAUUGUUGAUCGUGCCUUGUUCAUUCGCAUCAGAAAUCUGUUUAUAUUAUAUAAUAUAUCUCUUUGAUCUUUUCAUAAACUUAGUAUAUAGGCUGGAAACCUGUGACUCGAUCUUUUAGAUUAUUCUCAGGUAUAACAACGCCACGUACUGAGUAUUAUUAUUAUUAUUAUUAUUAUUAUUAUUACUAUUACUAUUAUUGUUAUUAUUGUUGUUGUUAUUGUUGUUAUUAUUGUUGUUGUUGUUGUCUUGUUAUUUAUAAUUUAUACAAUUAACCUCUCUGUGGUUCGACCCAAGUCUUGCCGGGUUAUUUAUUACUUCGACACUCCUACACUUAGGAGAAGACAUCAAUCUUUUGGUCGUGUCAAGUUUUUGGCGCCGUUGCUGGGGAGGUAAAUUCUUGUACAAAUUAUAGUAUUUAUUUUGUUUUCUCUUUUCACUUUUCUUGUAUCUAACUUUGUUUCUUUUUCUAUUGUUUUGUUCUUCCUUUUAUUCUCUUUCUACACGUGCAUGAGUAUUUGGUCACAUACAUUAAGUGGUAGACUUUGUAGGGUAUCCUCAUCAUUUUUCAAAAAAUAUGGCUGAAGAAGAUAACCAGUCACUUCAUAAUGAGAAUAAUGAGAAUAACCGUGUUAGGACACCUAGAGACCACAUGAAUCCCACAAGAACAAGUGCACCCUCAUGCAUAGUUUUCCCUCCUGAUGCAUCCCAUUUUAAUUUUAAGCCAGACAUUAUUCAACUUUUACCUUCUUUUCAUGGCUUAGAUCUAAAAAAUCCAUACUUGCAUUUGAGAGAAUUUGAAGAAGUUUGUAAUACAUAUAAUGACUUAAAUUGUAGCAUGAAUACCAUUAGAUUAAAGCUUUUUCCUUUUUCAUUAAAAGAUAAAGCUAAAACAUGGCUAUAAAAUCUUAGGUCAAGAUCCAUUCGUGCUUGGGAUGAAAUGCAACAACAGUUUUUAAAGAAGUUUUUUCCAUCUCACAGAACCAACUCUUUCAAAAGACAAAUCACCACUUUCACCCAAAAACCAGAUGAAACAUUUUACCAAUGUUGGGAUAGGUAUCGAGACUUGCUUAAUACUUGCCCGCAUCAUGGUUUUAAAACAUGGAGAUUGGUUUCACAAUUUUAUGAAGGAUUAACACCUAAAGAUAGGCAAAUGGUUGAAUUGAUGUGCAAUGGAACUUUUGAAGAUAAAGACCCUAAUAACGCAAUGGAGUACCUAGACUUGCUAGCUGAAAAUGCGCAAAAUUAGGACACUACAGGCACUUAUGAGGCACCAAUUAAAACCCAACCUCAUACAUCUAGUGGAGGUAUGUAUAACCUUAGGGAAGAUCAUGACCUUCAAGCCAAGUUUGCAUCUUUAGCUAGAAAAGUCGAGGCACUAGAAUUAAAUAAGAGUGGUCAAUUAAAAUCUAUUCAAGACAUUGUGUGUCAAAUCUAUAAAACAAAUGAACAUGCAACCAAUGACUGUCCAACUUUGCCUUCUUUCAAGGAAUGCCUCCAUAAACAAGCCCAUGCUUUAAACAGUUUCCAAAGGCCCAAUCAUAACCCAUACUCGCAAACAUACAAUCCUGGUUGGAGAAAUCACCCAAAUUUCAGUUGGAAGAGUGAUAACAAUAAUGCACAAACUUCACAGCCACCGUUUCAAGCACACCAUAAUUUCCAAAAUUCUCAUGGAUAUGCACCUCCUUAUGCUCCACCUCCUAGAAGAAAUCUUGAGGAAACAAUACAUGCAUUCAUUGAAAAGCAAGAGACAAUCAACACUCAACUUGCUCAAAGCAUGACAAAUUUUAAAGAUGCUCUUGAAAAAUUCACAUUUGCUCUUAGUUUUCAAGAGAAAGGUAAAUUUUCAUCUCAACCACAACAAAAUACAAAGGGGCAAUACAAUGCAAAUGCAAGUAGUUCCAAAAGCCAACACAUGGAUCAAGUCAAAUCAGUCAUCACUCUUCACAGUGGUAAGGUUAUUGAAAAACCCAUUCUUGAACCUUGUGAGAAAGAUGAUGAGUCAAUCUCUAAAGGUAAGGAAGGGGUUGAAUCUGAACAUUGUAAAGAAAAGACUGAUUCUCCGCCAACACUUCCAUUUCCUCAUGCCAUGACCAAACAAAGGAAAGUCAAUCACAAUUCUGAAAUCCUUGAAACUUUCAAACAGGUAAGGAUCAAUAUACCUUUGUUGGAUGCUAUUAAACAGGUAAGUUUCUAUGCUAAAUUUUUAAAAGAUAUAUGCACUGUGAAGAGAAAACUGAAUGUGAAAAAGAAAGCAUUUUUAGCCGAACAAGUAAGUGCUAUUCUUCAGAACAAUAAUGCUUUGAAAUAUAAAGACCCUGGUUUUCCUACAAUUUCUUGCUUUAUUGGAGAACGUAAAAUUGAAAGAGCUUUACUUGAUCUUGGAGCUAGUGUGAAUUUACUUCCAUAUUCGGUUUUUCAAAGUCUCAAUCUAGGUGAGUUAAAACCAACUUUUAUAACUCUUUUACUUAUUGAUAAAUCUGUAAAAGUACCUAGAGGAAUAGUUGAGGAUGUGUUAGUACAAGUUGAUAAAUUCAUUUACCCUGUAGAUUUUAUAGUCUUGGAUACACAACCUGUUGAAACAUGUAAUUCAAUUCAUGUCAUUUUAGGACGUCCAUCUCUUGCAACUUCUAAUGCAUUGAUUAAUUGUAGGAAUGGACUGAUGAAACUAUCAUUUGGAAACAUGACAUUGGAGAUGAAUAUUUUCAACAUUUGCAAGCAACCUAGAGAUGAUAAUGAUUUAUAGGAAAUGGACUUUAUUGAAAAAUUAGUUCAUGAUCAAUUUCAAACCACUUCUAGUGAAACUGAGGUUGAUGAACCUGGCGAGUUGCAAAUGGUUUAUUUUCAGGAAAAAGCAAAGGCAUGUAAUUGGAGACCACAAAUUGAAGAACUGCCACCACAAUCAAUUGAGUCCAUACCUUCAAGUGUUCAACCACUAAAACCUGAUUUGAAGUCGUUACCAGUCAAUCUCAAAUACUCAUUUUUGGGAGAAAAUAAAACUUUUCUGGUAAUAAUCUCUUCCAAACUUAAUGCAUAUCAAGAAGGUAAGUUAUUACAGACUCUGAAAAUGCACAAAAAUGCAUUAGGAUGGACCAUAGCUGAUAUAAAAGGAAUUAGUCCUUUGAUUUGCACAUACAGAAUUUAUUUGGAGGAAAAUUCUAAACCAUCUAGAGAAAUGCAACGAAGACUUAAUCCUAAUAUGAAAGAAGUAGUGAAAAAUGAAGUCAUUAAGCUUGUUGUAACCCAUUUCUGGGUCCCCACAUAAAAAAUAAUAAAAUACAAAAAAAUUCAAAAAAAUAUAUUAUCAAAAAAUAUAACAGUGAAAAAAUGCCGGAACGCCCUAAAAAUGCUCAAAAAUUGAUUGAGGAUUUUUAAAAAUAUAAAAAUUAUUUUUUGACAGUAUAUCAUUGACUGAUGAGAGCCCCGAUGAUAAAGAAAAUUCAAUUUGAGGAAGAAAAAUGCAAAAUCAGAAGUUUAUGGACUCAAUUAAAUUUUAUUAAAGGUUUAAUUGCAUUUAUGAAGAUUUUAAUUGCAAGAAAAAUUGAUUUUGGAGUUAAUUUGGGCUUUAAUUAGGAGAAAUUAAUUUUCUGGGGUUAAAUUAUAAUUUUUGGAAGUUAAUUUGGUCAAAUCAGGGGCUUAAUUGCAUAACUAUUGAAGUUUAAUGGCCAAUUAGGGACUUAAUUGAAGAAAUCCGAGACCAAGGACUAAAAUGCAAAACGCGCGCAAAUUGAGGGACUUCUUUGAAUCUGAUGCGUUUUGGUGCCUUUUCCUUUUAAAUGAAACGGCGCGUUUUGACCAAAACGGCGCCGUUUCAUCCACUGUUGCAAAAAAAAAAAAAAAAAAAAGAAAAGAAGAAGAAGCCCAAAACGGUGCCGUUUUGAAGGCACUGUAGGUCUUCUUCUUCCUCUGGACGCGCGAGGCAGGGGAAGAAGAAGAUUUUUCUUCUCCCUUUUCGCCUACUUUCUUUCCCCUUUUUUUGCGCAAAAAGACGCCCACCAUUGCCUAACGUUUAUCCUUUGAAACGGUAGUGGAGGGGGCGGCCAACAGUGGCCGCCCCACCAUGACGUCUCCCCUGUUUUUUGCCUAUAAAAACAGGGGAGAACCAAAGAAGAAAAAAAAGAAAACAGAAGAGAAGAAAGGAGGAGACCGAGAGAAAGGAGACUGAGGGAGAGAGAGAGGGCAAAGAAGAAGAAGAAGAAGCAGAAGCAGCAGAGAAGAAAAAUAAAAAACAGAAGAGAGAGAGAAGGGAAAUGCAGAACCACCGUGCCUCCGCCACCAUCGCCUCCGCUGCCACCAGCAGCACCGCCUCGAUGCCACCGCAGGUAAUCUCUCGCCGCCUUGUCUCCUUCUCCGUUUGCUGCCUCCCUCGUUUGCAUGCAGAACGUGAAUUAAUUCACGUUCUGCAGCUGAAGAGGGCUGGUUACUGUGCUUAGGCACAGUAACCAGCCCAUUUGGUAAUGGGCCGGGUUGGCCCAGCCCAUUGAUAUGGGCCGGACCCGGCCCAUUUCAAUUUUUUUUUUCUCAGAAGUUUUUUUACAAUUUUUUGGCACAUUUUUUUUUAUCAAUUUUGCUUAAUAUCGGUCUAUAUUUUACAUCGUAAAAAUAUAAAUUCGGUAUUAAAAUACCCGGUUUUCGUCCUGCGGUACUGUUCACACAACAUAAAAAAUCAAAAAUAUUUGUUUCGACAUUUUAUAAUUUUUCCGCGUCAUUUUUAUGUCAUUUUGAUUGAUAUCGGGCAGUAUUUUUACAUCGUAAAAAUAUAAAUCCGGUAUUAAAAUACCCGGUUUUCGGCAAAAACUUCCAAAAAUAAAAACAAAUUAAAAAAAGAUAAAAAAAAUGUUUUUGUGCAUACGGCCAAGUGUCUCAAAUCUAAAAAAUCAUAUCGUAUUUUUCAUAUGUCAAAAAACAAUAUUUUAGCAUGCAUUUUGGCUUUAAUAACCAGUUUAUUAAAGUCAAGAGAACAUUGGCCAAAAUCUCAAAAACAACAAAAUAUUUUAUUUUGUUUGAUUUUAGUAUCAGGGAUUAUGAAUUUAUACGUAAAUCGUAUUCCUGAUAUUAAAAAGAUAUUUUCUUUUUGACGACUUUGAAUAGUUAGUUUUUUACCCGAUAAAGAUAAGGAUCUCCUUACAGAGGAGGACUUUUCUUAAACCGUAAACUAACCAACAAUUCAAAAACCACAACACGAUUUUAGAUUUUAUCAGACAUUAAAACAAUGCAGCCUACCUUAGGUAGGGCGUAGUUGGGGUGCUAAUACCUUCCCUUUACGCAACUAGUCUCCGUACCCAAUCUCUAAAGACCAGUUAAGGUUUCUAGUAACCAGAAUACUAGGUGGCGACUCCCAGUCCAUAUUUUCACUUGUAGAGACAAGAAUUCCUUGUCCCUCCCUAUUUUCCAGGAAUAAAAUAUUCCGAUUUUUCCUUGAGGGUGGACGAUCGUCGCGCCGCCGCACACGUGCGACAAAGCUUCUAGUUAAUGGAAUCAUUUAUCCUAUUUCUGAAAGCAAAUGGGUAAGUCCUACCCAAGUUGUACCCAAAAAGUCAGGAGUCACUGUGAUAACAAAUGAGAAAAAUGAGUUAAUUCCAACUAGGACUAUUACUGGUUGGCGCAUGUGCAUUGACUAUAGGAAACUUAAUUCAAUGACUAGAAAAGAUCAUUUCCCUUUACCUUUCAUGGAUCAAAUCCUAGAAAGAGUUGCAGGUCAUGAAUUUUAUUGUUUCCUAGAUGGUUAUUCAGGUUACAAUCAAAUUGAAAUUGCAUUGGAAGAUCAACAGAAGACUACUUUCACAUGUCCAUUUGGUAUUUUUGCAUAUCGAAGAAUGCCUUUUAGGUUAUGUAAUGCACCAGCCACGUUUCAAAGAUGCAUUCUUAGCAUAUUCAAUGAUAUGGUUGAACGUUUUCUUGAGAUUUUUAUAGAUGAUUUUUCUGUUUUUGGUGAUUCAUUUGAUGAUUGUUUAACUAACUUAGAAAAGGUUUUGAACAGGUGUGAAGAGAAGAAUCUUGUACUGAAUUGGGAAAAAUGUCACUUUAUGGUAACCAACGACAUUGUACUUGGUCACAUUGUUUCAUCGAAAGGAAUUGAGGUUGACAAAUCUAAAAUCGAGUUAAUUGCCAACUUACCAACACCAAAAUCUGUUAAAGAUGUUAGAUCAUUCUUAGGACAUGCUGGUUUUUACAGAAGGUUCAUCAAAGAUUUUAGUGUAAUAUUUAAACCAUUGUAUAACCUUCUAACAAAGGAAAAUGUUUUUGAAUGGACUGAACAAUGUAAAAAAGCCUUUGUUAAACUUAAAAGCUUGCUUACUUCUGCUCCUGUCAUUCAACCUCCUGAUUGGUCACUUCCUUUUGAAAUAAUGUGUGAUGCUAGUGAUUAUGUCGUGGGUGCUAUCUUAGGACAAAGAAAAGAUAAGAAACCUUAUGUGAUUUACUAUGUAAGUAAAACUUUAAAUAGUGCUCAAAUGAAUUACACUACCACUAAAAAAGAAUUACUUAUAGUAGUAUUUGCAUGUGAUAAGUUCAGAUCUUAUCUUGUUGGCUCACCUGUUGUUGUUUUUAGUGAUCAUGCAGCAUUGAAAUAUCUUCUCUCUAAAAAAUAUUCUAAGGCUAGAUUGGUGCGGUGGAUUUUGUUACUUCAAGAAUUUGAUAUCACAAUCAAAGACAAGAAAGGCACCGAAAAUGUUGUUGCAGAUCAUUUGUCAAGAUUGACAACCGAUUCGAGAUCUGACAUCACACCAAUCGAUGACUACUUUCCUGAUGAAUCUUUAUUUUUUGUCUCUACAAUGCCUUGGUUUGCUGAUAUUGUUAAUUUUCUUGUUUUAGGACAAUUGCCAGCUCAUUGGAGUACCCAAGAUAAAAGAAAGUUCUUAAACGAAGUGAAGAACUUUUAUUGGGAAUCCCUCGAGCCAUGAUAAGUGAUGGUGGAACACAUUUCUGCAACAAGCCAUUUGAGUCUUUAAUGAAGAAAUAUGGAAUCACACACAAAGUUGCCACCCCUUAUCACCCUUAGACGAGUGGACAGGUAGAACUUGCUAAUAGGGAGAUCAAACAGAUCUUAGAGAAAACAGUGAACCCUAAUCGGAAAGACUGGUCUUUAAGACUUAAUGAUGCACUUUGGGCUUAUCGAACUGCAUAUAAAACAUCAUUAGGUAUGUCACCUUAUAGACUAGUCUAUGGAAAACCUUGUCACUUGCCUGUGGAAAUUGAACAUAAAGCUUAUUGGGCUAUUAAAGCUUUCAAUUCAAACAUUGAUGAUGCUAGUCAGCUGCGAAAAUUGCAAAUAAAUGAGCUUGAGGAAAUAAGAAAUGAUGCAUAUGACAAUUCAAGAAUUCAUAAAGCAAGAAUCAAAGAGUUUCAUGACAAGAAAAUACUGAGAAAAACAUUCAAUGUUGGUCAAAAAGUCUUGCUUUAUAAUUCUCGACUCCAUUUAUUUCCUGGAAAACUAAGAUCAAGAUGGAGUGGUCCUUUUAUUGUGAAACAUGUGUAUCCAUAUGGGGCCUGUGAUAUCGAAAAUCCAAAGAAUGGUAAUGUUUUCAAGGUAAAUGGCCAUCGUUUGAAAGUUUAUUUUGAUAAUUUUUCAGUUGAAAAUGACUCUAUUGAAUUGGGUGAUCCUGUAUAUAAAGAUUGAUUCUUUUUCUCACAUUGUUUUUGUGUGACUUUUGUUUUGCUAGUCUCUCACCCCGGUCAAAUGGCGGAUAACGGUACUCCGUGACUCUUUUAAGUCGGUUCUUUCAGUUUCCCAUGAUAACUGAUAUCUGUGUAUAUAUUUGUGCAAUUCUUUGCUCUUUCUCCUUUCUUUGAAUCUCUCCCCCAAUUCUUAGUUGAAAAUGGACACCACUAUUGAAAAAUUGAAAAAGUAUUUUCCCGCUCUGCCUCAGAAUGCGAUUACAAAAAUUUACCGUGCUAGGUGUGAAAGAUUGAGGUUGUUAAUGAACCAUGGAAUUCCUGAAGAUAUUCAUUGGCUAAUUGAAGCAAAGGUCCGAUUAUCAGGUGAGUCCUCCAAUUCUUUCAUUUCAUACAUGCCUGGAACAGGUAAAAGCACUUUUGCAAAGAAACGUCAUGCAAAACGACUGAAAGUCUGUCAUAGAUGUGCCAGAUGGACUUGUAAUGCGACAUGGCGUUCUUUAGGAAUGAUAUCUGUAAACCGUGAAGAUAAAAUACAAUUAAUUAAGGAUGGCCUAAGUAAGGGGUCUUUAGAUAAUCUUCUAUUGACUCUUGAGACGCACCCUAGUGGAGAUGUGCAUCGUGCAAUUUAUGAUUUAUGGCCACAAUUCCAUAAAGAACAUGCUCGACUUAGUUUUGGGAAUCUGACUAAAAAAGACCUUGUUUGCCAGUUUUUAAGAAAACUGGAUGGGAAGCCUAUCCCCGACCCAUAGAGGGCGUUUAAGCCGUUCUUGGACGUAAAACCAAGGAAAGAUGUGAGCCACAAUCACAACUACCUGUACAUACACAUGCUUUUUCAAAAUAAAUAAUAAAGAGAGAGAGAGAGAGAUGAGACUACACUGGCCUACAUAUAGGUGGUAUGAUUGCAUUUUCAAUUUCUCAUCUAUAAAUUCUUCUCUUCCUUCCCUUCAUUUCUACUCAACCCAUACAUUCAUCAAAUAUAGAAGUGUGUAGAAAUGGCAGGUUCCUCAAGUCAUCACAUAAACAAUAUUUGUGUUUUCGGUGGAUCCAGUCCUGGGAAAGAAAAAGAGUUUUUAGAAUCAGCAAAUCAUCUUGGUCAGGUACUAGCUGAGCGAAAGAUUCAUUUAGUGUAUGGAGGAGGCAGCCUUGGGUUAAUAGGGGGAGUGUCAAUAGCUGCAUUUUUAGGAGGUAGUCAAGUUUUGGGGGUUGUCCCCAAAGCUUUAGCACAAGGGGACAUCAUUGGAAAAACAAUUGGAGAGGAAUUACAGUCCCCACAAUGUCUGAUCGACUGAAUGCAAUGUUUAACCAUGUGAUGCCUUCAUUGCCUUACCAGGUGGUCUGGGCACAUUGGAAGAGAUCUUUCAUAUUUCCUCUUGGGCCCAACUGCACAUUCACCAUAAACCCAUAGGUUUGUUAAAUGUUAAUGGUUUUUAUGAUAAGUUGUUGUCUUUUCUUGAUCAUGUUGGAACAGGAAUUUCUAACAUCUUCAGCACGACAAAUCAUAAUCUCUGCUGCUACUGCUGAACAAUUGAUUGACCAACUACAAUCUUUCAUCCCUGUAAUUAAUCCCUCCAUGAGUCGCAUAAAUUGGUCAACUAAGGAAAGCCGUAAAAAGCUUAGAUUGGAUUUGAGCCUUCGUUUGUAAAAACUUUGUAUCUUUUGGUUUUAUUAUUGUGUUUUGUUGCUUCUUAUAUUUGUUUAAGUGUGUUUCAGGUUUGUUAGUGUUCGCUAUUUCAGGUGAUGUCUUCUAUACUCUAUCUUUCUACCUUAAGACAUUGAGGACAAUGUCUCAUUUUGGUUAGGGGAAAGGGUAGUAGUUGAUAUUUAAAAAAAAAACUAUGUUUUCUAUUUAAUAAACUAUUUGCAAAACUGUUGUUACUAGGAUGGCAGAGUAAAAGGAGUUCUUUUGUUAAAGUGACUCUUGAGAUGCAUCUUAGUAAACAUUCUUAACAAGGUCUAUCAGAAUACUUCUUGAAAUAUUCAGGUUUACAAACUCUCGUAUUGUUAGCACUUGAUUAUGCUCAUAUGCUUAUUUAACAAGUAUUUUUAAAUCUUCAUUUUCACACACACAUACACACUUUAACAUAUGAUUGUGGGUUGCACAUUGGAUUAUUACAUUAUUUAUGUUCUUUUGUUAAAGGUAACAACUAAGGAAAAGGGAUAGUACAUAAUUUGCAAAAAAAAUAACAAAAAAAAAUAAUGAUAAUAAAAAGGUAGAUAAUUUUGGUUUCGUAGCCUCCCUAACCUAACCAAUUAAGCCCGAAGGGGUGUUUUAACACUUAAUACCCUAAAGUCAACUGACUUGGGAGCUAUUGGCCCAACGCUUGUUACAUGGGUUAAGGAGAAAAGCUUAAGGGAAUCAAACAUUGCACUAUCUAUGUAUCAGUAUCUGCAACCCGAGUUGCUAAGCUCGUAGGGGUGUCUCAACACCUAAUGCCCUAAGACCAACUGGUCUGGGAGUCAUUAGCCUAAAGCUCGUUACAUGGGUUAAAGAUACAUUGUGUUUUAAGUUGUAUGUGUAUAUAAAUAAAAAAUAAAUAAAAAAAAAAAAAGAAAAAAUAAUCCCAACCCAAGGAAGUUAACCUUAAACAUUAGAAAAAAUUUUUUUUCUUCUAAAGCCCCAUAACUAUAUGUUGAUAUUUUGAGCACAAAAGAAAGGUUUAGUAAUAUCUUGUUUAGAGGUAUUGAGCAUAUAUAUGAAUUUAAUGAGAGUUUGUUUAUCUUGAUAGAUUAAAGUAAGUUGAAUGAUGAAUGCCUUGCUUUAUGGAAUUUGCAAAUUGUUUUUUCUAUUUUAACGCUUUGAUUACUAGGAACUAGUAAUAAGCUGGUUGGGGGGUGUGAUUAGUACUUAAAAGCGCAUGUUUAUCAAAGGUUUAUAUCAUUAUUUUGCACUUGAAGUAUCAAUAACUCCUUAACUAAAGCAUGUUUUAUAAUAACAAGUCUAAUACUAUAAGAUACCUUAAUAUAUUGUAAAUGUUCAUCUUAAAUGCAGACAUAUCACAUAAAUGAAAGGAUUGAUUGAUGAAUUCAACUACUGAAAUUUAUGAAGAUAAAGAGAGGGUGAAGCUUAGAAAAGAGAUGUUGGUGCAGUCCAAACUGGAACACUAUUCGGUAAUUGGGUCAUAUCUCGAGUUCUAGAUGUCCAAAUGAUCUCAAAGUUUUACACAAAUUCAGUAAGAAAUAGGCCUACAACUUUCAUGUGGACACCAAGAUCUAAGAAGGCCGUUUUGAAAUCCAAAUUAUAGCAACAACGGAGAAGUCCGAAUUUGUCCUGCAGCCCAGACACUGUUCAGUGUUCAGCCCAUAUCUUGAGUUUUAGAAGUCCAAAUGACCUCCAUUUUUUUUCCUGGAAAGCUAAGUCAAUUUCCUACAACUUUAAUGUUUCAAGUGGACCCAGUUCUGAUGCUAGACAUUUCAUUUUAUUCUGACAAUAAGAUAAGGAUUUUCACAAAGUCAAGAGUUGGCCACCCACUCAACAAUUAGUCAUCAAAUCAAUAAUUCCGAAUUUUGGCCUAUAAAAGGAGGCAUUUGCCAUGUAUUUAGGGGCUUGGUUGUUCAGAUCAAGAUGCUCUUUCUCUCUUUAUAUUUUUUAAUUCUUAAGUUUUGCUUUCAUUAAUUUCUUGUUUAUGCUUUUCAUUUCCUUUCCUUAGUUAACUUGUAUCUUAUUUAUGUUCUUGUUUUAUUUAUGUUUCUCUUCUUCAUUAUGUUUAGCUAAGUUUAUUAUGUCAAGGUGAAAAGGUUACACUAAUGGUGUAAGAAUAAGUAUAGUGUAAACUCAACAUGAACCUUAAUGUUUAAUAUUAACAUGUCUUAUCUUUUUAUCUUACUAAUUCUUAAUACCUUGCUUGUUAAAUGGUUAAUCUAGAUUUGUGUUGUAUAACACUUGGUACAACAAAUGCUUGGCACUCUCAUAGCCCAACCAUAUGGUAUUACCUACACAUGUGCUAUGAAAGGAACUUGAUUUGUUGUUAACAUAGGUUAGCAUCAUGAAUUCCUGACAAUAUUUAAAAGUUUGGUGUUAUGUAAACAAGAUAAUUUAUAAUAAUAUAUAAUAUAUUAUAGGGUUGGGCCGGCCCAAAUAAAUGGGCCAGGCUCAGCCCCAAAAAAGGGGCGGGCUGAGAUCGGCCCGAAAUGUCAUGGGGCCGAUCUCGGCCCAAACAAUGAAAUUGGGCCGAUCUAGCCCGAAAAACUUCUACAGUCUCGGCCAAGACCGGCCCAGACUUGUAAGGCUGGGCCAGCAUCGGGCUGGCCCAACACCUUACGACCCAGCGGGGGGGGGGAAUUAAUUUUCUUCUCCCCCGCCUCCUGCAUGCAAAACUUUGCAUGCAGGAGGCAACGCCUGCUUCGAAAGCAAAGAGGGAAGAAGAAAAUGUACCUGGCAUGGAGGAGGCGGUCGCUGGUGGUGCUGCGGUGGCGUGGCUCGUGGACGGCGGCUCCGGGCGGCGGUGCUGCGGCUGUUUCCAAGUGCUCGGUUCUCUCUCUCUCUCUCCUCCCUUCUCCCUGUUUCGGUUCUCUCUUUUUUCCUUUUGUUUUCAGUUUAGUUCCAGUAUUCCCUUCUCUCUCUCUCCUGCCUACUGUCUCUUCUCCUCCCUUCUCGGUUUUUUUUUUUUUUUGUUUCCCGGUCCUCUUUUCUCUUCGGUUUUCCUUCCUAUUUAUAGGGGGGGGAAACGGUGCCUUUUGCUAGUGCGUCUUGGGAGUAAAUCACGCAACGGCUGGUCGGCCAUUGACGCGUUCGGUGGUGGUGGUGGGGCGAGGAGAGAGAGGCGGGAAGUUUGAAAAGUUUAGUUUUUUCUUCUGUUGCAGGUUCGGGGGGGGGGGGAGAGGAAGAUGAACAGUGUCGUUCAAAAUGACACCGUUCUGGUCCUUUUUUUUUUAUAUAUAUGAAACGACGUCGUUUUGGAUAAAACGCGUCUUUUUUCACUUUGGUCCUUGGCCUCUGAUUUAUGCAAUUAAGCCCUCAAUUGAUCAAUAAACUUCCAAUUUCUUCAAUUAGACCCCUGAACCGAAUAAUUUCAGCCCCUCCAUUUACGCGCCUCUUCCAAUUUGGUCCCUGGUUUCGGAUUUUCUUAAUUAAGUCCUUAAUUGGCCAUUAAACUUCAAUAUUUAUGCAAUUAAGCCCCUGAUUUGACCCAAUAAAUUCCUAAAAAAUAUAUUUUGGCCCCAGAACUUAAAUUUCUUCUAAUUAAAGCCCAAAUUGACUUAAAAAUUAAUUUUUCUUGCAAUCAAAUCCUUUAUAAACUCAAAUAAAAAUCCAAUUAAGUCCAUAAACAUCCAAAUUUGGGUUUUUCUCCUCAAAAUUCAAAUUUUCCUUCUCAAUAGGGCUUUCUUUCUUCAAGAAUAUACUGUCAAAAAUUCAAUCCUUGUAUUUUUAAAUUCCUUGACCAAUUUCCUGACUGUUUUCCGAGCGCUUCUGCCUCCUGUUAUUUUUCUAACCUCUUUUGGCUAUUUAUUUUAUUUUUCAUGGGGACCCAAAAAUGGGUUACAACACUAUACUUGUUUGAAAUACCAUUAGUGGAUCCUCUAACCUUGACAUUUAUUUUUAUCAUUGUUUAAUCCUUACAUUAAUCUUCCAUCUCAAAGUUCUCAUUAAUUUAUUCCUCUUAUUUUUAUUAUUAUUAUUAUUACUACUACUAAUAUUAUUACUAUUAAUAUUAAUAUUAAUAUUAAUAUUAUUAUUAUUAUUAUUAUUAUUAUUAUUAUUUUUAUAUUCUUGUUAUAUUUUAUGUACGUUAAGUAUGCUCUGUGUUUGAUCAAGGAUCCUGAUAUUGUUGGCCUUGCCUUGUUCAUUCGCAUCAGAAAUCUGUUUAUAUUAUAUAAUAUAUCUCUUUGAUCUUUUCAUAAACUCAGUAUAUAGGCUGGAAACCUGUGACCCGAUCUUUUAGAUCAUUCUCAGGUAUAACAACGCCACGUACUGAAUAUUAUUAUUAUUAUUAUUAUUACUAUUAAUAUUAUUAUUACUAUUACUAUUAUUGUUAUUAUUGUUGUUGUUAUUGUUGUUGUUAUUGUUGUUAUUAUUGUUAUUGUUGUUGUUGUUGUCUUGUUAUUUAUAAUUUAUAUAAUUAACCUCUUUGUGGUUCGACCUCGGUCUUGCCGGGUUAUUUAUUACUGGAAAUCUAAUUUAUGAGCAUGAUAUGGAUGCAAAAAGAGGAAACAAAGACACCUAAAAGUACACAAAAAGUUAUAAUCAGGAGUGUGAUAAAACAGACACUCAAAUGAAGAUUUAUUUUGGAGAACAACAUUAGGCAUGCAAUUAAUAAAAUAUAUCGAUGAUUCAAAAACAUGGAUCCAAAAUCGCAAUGGUGCACUACACCGGGAUGCGAUUAACAAAAUAUAACGAUGAUUCAAAAACAUAGUUCAAAAAUCACAAUGGUGCACUACACUGGCCUAAACUUGUUAGGACAAUUUUGAUAAUAUGUUGAUGACGAUGUUCGACAGUGCCAUUUUGUUCAUGAGUAUGAGGACAGUUUAACCAAUGAUGAAUACCAAUGGACUGAAAGUGAUCCAGAUUGGGAUCUCUUGGCAGACACCUCCUCUCAUUUACCUGCAACAUCAGUGUACUCUAAAGGUGGCGAGUCAGUGAGACUUCGAGAUGAUUCAGUGUCCCGUCAAGCAGAUGUGUCCAUUCCCAAUGUAUUAGACAAACAGGGGGGAGAUAAUAUACCCCUACUACUGGAACCGGUAGUUGGAUCAAACCCAUUUUAGAUCCUCCUUUUACGGAAAAUAGUUAGAGCUGUAGCAGCAGGAAUGGCAACGGGAGCCUCAAGUACAACUUCUAGAUCAAGGGGAGUUGUCACUAUAGUACAAUGGGUGAAGGGUAUGAGAGAGAUGGGUUGUAUGACUUACCAUGGCGAAGAGGAUGUUGAUGUUGCUGGGAAUUCGCUGAGGAAAGUGGAAAGAGUUAUAAAUCAGAUGCAGGUGCUAGAGGAGCUACGAGUGGAUUGCAUGACUCAGCUAUUGGUUGAUAAUUCCCACUCUUGGUAGGAGACCAUUAGAGGGAGGAGAUCAGAGGAGGUAUUGAGAUGGAGGGACUUUUGUGAAGAGUUUGAGGAGAGGUACUAUUCUUGGGAGCAUAAAAGGGAGAAAGAACAUGAGUUUUUGGAUUUGAGGUAGGGAGAUUUGACAGUUCUAGAGUAUGAGAGGAGAUUUCAGGACUUAGCAACUUUUGCCUCCAUUUACCUUCCCACAAAGCGCCACAUGGUAAAGAGGUUCAAUGUUGGAUUGAGGUGGGAACUAAGAACAAUAUUGAUAGCUAUGCAGUUUCAGUCUGUGCGGGAAUUGGUACGGGCUACUCAGGGUAUGGAAAGGGUAAUAAGGGAUACCUCGAAACUAGUGGUUGAUGUAACCAUAUUAUUCGAUAGUUUUACCCGCAUUUAGCUAGUGUUUUGCGUAUGUUAUUUAUAUAAAAUGCCUUGAUAUUCUUUGUUUUAUAUUUUGAAGGCAUUUUUGGAUGAAAGAUGCAAAAAGGAGUAAAUUGGAGAAAAAUAAAAAGAGAAAGAUCAUGGAAAUCACAUCCUUCAAAGUCAAAUCUCGUAGUCUGCCAAUGUUGACCUUUGCCCAUUCAAAAUUCAAUAUCUGGAGCUUCAGAAGUCCAAUUGAUGCAAACUCAAUUUUGUUGGAUUCCUUACUCAAAGCUCUAUAAACGCUCCAAAUAUCAGCCAAUGUCAUAUGAGGGAGAUAGGAGUUUUCAAAGAUGACAGCUGAAUUCUGCCAGCAAGCAGGUUGCGUGAAGAUUCAGAAGCAUCCAAACUGACAUACAAGUGUUUCCAACAAUUUAGCUCCUUUAGUAAAUAUUCUAGAAGGUCAAGGAAGGCAGCCACCAACCUCAAGCCAGUCGCCUUCACACUACCACCAUCUAUUGAUGUUCACACUUGAACUUUGAUUUUCUUAGUUACAAUUUGUGUAUAAAUAGAGGGAGAGUGGAAGGAGGUGGAAGCAAGAAGUGAGGAAACACAAACUCUCCUCUCUACAAAUCAGAAAUUAUGUAUUCUUUCAUCUUUAGGAGUAGUUGUUCAAUAGAUAUGCAAGGCUAAGCUCGUUUUCUUGGUUGCAAAGACACAACAAACCUUCGGAUUUCAAGAACCGUGAGAUUUAUUCUUCCUUUUAUUUUUAGUUUAUGUUAUGAAUGAGUAUGAUUGUUUUCCUAUGCAUAUUUCCUAUGAUUGUUUAUCUUAAUUGCUAGAGCGGACUCUAAGUUAUUAUUGUGAACAAUCUAUUGCUAAGUUUGAUAUCAAAACCGGAGUUGUGGUAUAUAAACUUGCGAAGCAACUAAGCUUGAUAAUUGUAGCGGAACUACGUUAUUAAACUUAGGGAGAACAUUCGAUCAUAGCAACACAAAUUGACAACUUGGUUGUUAAGAUUAAUGAAUUUAUCUGAAUCUUAAGACUGCCAUUGGAUUAAAUCAUUAGUGCGGACACUAUGAUUGUUUGUUGGUUAGGGCUAGUUAUACGGUGGAUCCAUUAAUUAACCAAUAUCAAGAAAAGAUAAAAUUCAUAAUAUAAACUGGAGUUUCGUUUCAAGGAUCGGUUCUAAUUUCUGUUGGUGGAUAUGUGCUUGCAACCAAGGUUUGUUUUCUUGAUAUAUUUCAGUUUCAAUUGAUUUUGUUUGCUAGUUUAAUUUCUGCCAUAGUUUAAAUCAUUGCAAAUCAAACCCCCCCAUUGCAUAACGUAUAACAUAAAAAUCUGAACUAAACCUUCCUCGUGGGAUCGACCCCUUGCUUGCUCUAUACUAUCUUGUGUGUUGUGUUUGAAGCUAGGGUAAUUAAUUUGUACGACCGCGACAUCGCAACAGUGGUCAAGCAGAGUCGGGUAAUUGGAGCUAAGAGAAGAGAUUUUGAGUUUUUGACUGGGAGACCUCCUCUCCCAAAGAAAGAGAAGAGCGGGCAAUCAUCAAGACAAUUCCAGAGAAGAGGCGAGAGUUUCACCCCAAGAGGGAGCUUAGGAGGAUCUAGAUGAGUCAGUGGAAGAGGAUCUUGGGGAGGAUAGUCUAUACAGGAAGUCAAAAUUGUUGGAGGGUCUAUAGAGCAAAAUGGACUAGUAUAUCCAUUUUGUCAGAGGUGUGAGUAGCGACAGCUUGGAGAUUGCUCUGCGAUGCCAGGGAGAUGUUAUAUUUGUAAAGUGAGGGGCAUCGAUGGAAAGAGUGCCCGCAUGUAGGCAGAGGCUGUUACUAUUAUGGGGACAUGAUUCGCAAGAAGAAGGAUUGUCCUCGUAGAACUAUCGAGGGAGCCCAUGGUUAGAGGAUUAAGGUUUAAAGCCAGCAGCAAUUGGUGACAAUUAAUCGUACUAUCAGGCCUACCCAGUCAGGGACGAGUGCUACUUAUGGGAGGCCUAGAAAUCAAGAGGGGAGGACUUAGGGUCGGGUAUAUCACAUGACCUACGAGGAUAUGGGAGAUGUACCUGAUGUGGUGGCAAGUACUUUAUAGUUAGAUACGAUGCAAGUUUAUGCUUUAAUUGAGCCUAGAGCUAGUCAUUCCUUUGUACCUUAUAGAAUUGUGAAUAACUUGCAUGUGUUAUCUAGUAACUUGGGUGUAGGAGUGACGGUUAGUACACCUCUAGGGAGAAAAUACAUAUUGAUGAUAUUUAUAGAGGGGUAAAACUAUAUAUUGAAGGGUUAGAAUUAAAGGUAGAUCUUAUGCCGUUAGAGCUAUAUGAUUUUGAUGUGAUUCUGGGCAUGAAUUAGCUAAGUAAACAUAAGGCACAAGUGGAUUGUUUCACCAAGAUGGUGACAAUCCAAGGAAUAGGUGAUAAAAGAGUAGUGUUUAAAGGGGAAAUAAAAGUAAUUCCAAGUUGUGUAAUCUUUUAGUCUUGGUGGCAACAAAAUUACUGAGGAAGGGUUGUUCUACUUGGUUAGUCCUUGUAAGGGAGCUGGAAAAGGGUAGCAUAGAUUUGGCUAGUAUUUCCAAAAAAGUUGCCUAGAUGGUCCAGUUAGAGAAAUUGAAGUUUUCAUAGAAACUAUCCCAAGAGUUUCUCCUAUAGCCCAGUCUCCUUAUAGGAUGGUGAUUAGUACUUAAAAGUGCAUAUUUAUCAAGGUUUUAUAUCAUCAUUUUGCACUUAAAGUAUCAAUAACUCCUUAACUAAAGCAUGUUUUAUAAUAACAAGUCUAAUACUAUAAAAUGCCUUAAUAUAUGGUAAAUGUUCAUCUUAAAUGCAGGUCUAUCAUAUAAAUCAAAGGAUUGAUUGAUGAGUUCAAGUAUGGAAAUUGAAAGGACAAAGAGAGGGCCAAACUUCAAAAAGAGAUGUUGGUGCAGUCCAAACUGGAACACUAUUCGGUAAUUGGGUCAUAUCUCGAGUUUUAGAUGUCAAAAUGAUCUCAAAUGUUUACACAAAUUCAGUAAGACAUAGGCCUAUAACUUUGAUGUGGACACCAAGAUCUAAGAAGGCUGUUAGCAAGUCCAAAUUAUAGCAACAACGGAGAAGUCUGAAUUUGUCCUGCAGCCCGAACACUAUUCAGUGUUUGGCCCAUAUCUGGAGUUCUAGAAGUCCAAAUGACCUCCAUUUUUUUUUUCUGGAAAGCUAUGUCAAUUGCCUACAACUUUAAUGUUUUUAAGUGGUCCCAUUUCUGAUGCUAGCAAUUUCGUUUUAUUCAGACAAGAAGAUAAGGAUUUUCACAAAGUCAAGAGUUGGCCACCCACUCAAUAAUUAGUCAUCAAAUCAAUAAUUCCGAAUUUUGGCCUAUAAAAAGAUGCAUUUGCCAUGUAUUUUAGGGCUUGGUGGUUCGGAUCAAGAUCAUGCUCUUUAUUUCUCUCUUUAUAUUUUUUUUUGUAAUUCUUAAGUUUUGCUCUCAUUAAUAUCUUAUUUAUGCUUUUCAUUUCUUUUCCUUUCCUUAAUUAACUGGUAUCUUAUUUAUGUUCUUGUUUUGUUUAUUUAUGUUUCUCUUCUUUAUUAUGUUUAGCUAAGUUUAUUAUGUCAAGGUGAAAAGGUUACACUAAUGGUGUAAGAAUAAGUAUAGUGUAAAGUCAACAUGGACCUUAAUGUUUAAUAUUAACAUAUCUUAUCUUUUUAUCUUACUAAUUCUUAAUACAUUGCUUGUUAAAUGGUUAAUCUAGAUUGUGUUGUAUAACACUUGGUACAACAAAUGCUUGGCACUCUCAUAGCCCAACCGUAUGGUAUUACCUACACCUGUGCUAUGAAAGGAACUUGAUUUGUUGUUAACAUAAGUAAGCAUCAUGAAUUCCUGAAAAUAUUUAAAAGUUUGGUGUUACGUAAAUAAGAUAAUUAAUAUGAUCAUGUUAACAAUUUAUAAUGAGCUAUUAAUAACAAAUCAUCUUAUUGGAACCUCCUUCGUGUGUGGUUUCCAAAUUGAGUAAUAAGAGUUUAUAUUGUACUUGUUUGAAAUACCAUUAGUGGAUCUUUUAACCUUGACAUGUGUUUUUAUUAUUGUUUAAUUCUUACAAUAAUCUUUCAUCUCAAAGUUCUCAUUAAUUUCUUCCUCUUCUUUUAUUAUUACUACUACUACUACUACUACUAUUAUUAUUUACAUUCUUGUUAUAUUUUAUGUAUGUUAAGUAUUCUCUGUGUUUGAUCAAGGAUCCUGACAUGGUUGGUCUUGCCUUGUUCAUUCACAUCAGAAAUCUAUUUAUAUUAUAUAAUAUAUCUCUUUGAUCUUUUCAUAAACUCAGUAUAUAGGCUGGAAACCUGUAACCCGAUCUUUUAAAUAUUCUCAGGUAUAACAACGCCACGUACUGAGUAUUAUUAUUAUUAUUACUAUUAAUAUUAUUAUUACUAUUACUAUUAUUGUUAUUAUUGUUGUUGUUGUUGUUGUAUUGUUAUUUAUAAUUUAUACAAUUAACCUCUCUUUGGUUCGACCCCAGUUUUGCCGGGUUAUUUAUUACUUCGACACUCCUACACUUAGGAGAAGACAUUAAUCUUUUGGUCGUGUCAGAUGGCACCUAUGGAAUUGGCAAACUGAAGGUCCAGCUUCAAGAAUUGUUAGAUAAAGGCUUCAUCCAACCUAGUAACUCGCCCUAGGGAGCUUCGGUGUUGUUUGUAAAGAAGAAGGAUGGCACCUUUCGUUUGUGCAUUGAUUAUCGUCAAUUGAAUAAAAUGACGGUGAAGAACAGGUACCCACUCCUAUGAAUAGAUGACUUGUUUGAUCAAUUGAAGGGUGCUAGGGUGUUCUCUGAGAUAAAUUUGAGAUCUAGAUACCACCAGUUAAGAAUCAAAGAGCAAGGCAUACAAAGAUUGCAUUUCAAACCUGUUAUGGGCAUUACGAAUUUUUGGUGAUGCCUUUCGAGUUAACCAAUGCUCCUGUAACAACCCUAAUUUUUCUAUUAGUUUAUUCAUUAAUCUCUCCCCCUAUAAAGGGUAGAUGAAGCAAAAUUUUAUUUUUAUUUUUUACUCGCCGAAAUUUCUAAUGAAAUUUCGGCAGAGUCUCCUCUAUACCGAGAGAUCCCAAGUUAUCGACAAUGUACCUGCACACAUUUAGAAUCACAUCUCAUCCACAAUCACAUUCAUGUUUAGUACAAUCAACUGCAUAACUCAUUCUAGAUUAUGCUCAGGACCAUAUUCAUUCCCAAACUCCAUCUUACAUCACAUACACAAGUUAAUAAUUAAAAGAGCCAAUUUCAACACGAAAUUUCAUAUACAUAUAUAUAUACACAACACAGUUUAAUAUUCUAACAUAGUCUAGUACAUUCUAAUAUCCCAAGCAUAGGUUGGUACAUUUAAUAUUUCAGAAACAAAAUAUUAUGAAUAGAAUAUUCCAUAUAGGUUACAUGUUUACUGCAUGACAAAAUUACACCACUAAUUCCUAAGUUCCUAACUUAUACAAAAAGGGAUCAAAGGACUUUAAAUCUAUUCCUAACGUGAAUGGGAGGGACCUGCAAAAAUAUAAAUUUUCCAUAUAAUAAAAAACAAAUGAUUAAAAUACAAGGAAUUUACAGAAUAAAAUUAAACAACAUAUAUAUCUACUUAAAUCAUAUAAAAUUCUAAAUACAACCACAAACCCCUUUUAAUGGUUAUAUAAGAAUUAUUUAUUCUUCUUCUUUUUCUUCUUUUCCUGUUAACUACUUCUUCCCCCCCCCUUCAUCAAAAAGACUAUUGCUGACACCAAUGACCUCCAUUAGUGUCUUUAGUUGCCCGUCCUGGAACAACUAAUUAGUUUCAUGAAAAUGCCGACACAAAUGUAAACGUUUGUGUCAUUAACUAUUUUUAAAACUAAAAUAGUUAAUCAUUGUUCCAUAUUACCUUGGGAGGUUCUCAGGUAUGCCGAUGUCAAAAUUCUUGACAUCAUUAGCUUCCACCUCGAAAAGCUAAUCAAGUUUAUAAAUUUUGCCGAUAUCAACGUCACGUGCCGAUAUCAUUAACUAUUCUGAAACCGAAUAGUUAAUCAAGUUUAUAAGUUUUGCCGAUAUCGACGUCACGUGCCGAUAUCAUUAACUAUUCUGAAACCGAAUAGUUAAUCAAGUUUAUAACUUUUUGCCGAUAUCGACGUCACGUGCCGAUAUCAUUAACUAUUCUGAAACCGAAUAGUUAAUCAAGUUUAUAUUUUUCCUCUCACGUACCAGUAAUGCCGAUGUUAUCCAGCUUGGUUAACAUCAUUAGCCUCCCAUAUCAGGGACAAACAAAUCAAAUUCGAGAAAUAAUCAUUACCAAAAUUCCUUGUUACGAUCUAUUUCCUCCAAAAGAACCCAUAAAUUAAAUCUAGUUCUCCGUUCCAUUUUAUUUUUCAUCAUUUAACCUUUCCUUUCCCUUUUUUUUUUCCUCAUCAAUAAGCACCAAAGUUUUAUAGUUCAAAAGUUAGUUAAAAUAAUUAUUAACUAGAGGAGAUAUAGGUACCAAGUACCUACCUGUUGUGGACGCUCGACUUGCGUUCCCCUGUGGUUGUUGUACUCCUCUUGCGGUUCCUCCUGAAACCACAAACACCCAUCAUUAUUCCAUAUUAAUCCACAUAUCACAUGCAACAUCAACAUUGAAAAUAAUAUUCAUUUCUCUUUUACCAAAUCUUUUCUUUCUCAUCACUUACAUUCCCCAUUAUUAUCCUUUAACUUUUCAGCUCAUUAGUAGUCCAAGUGGACAUCAUAAAUUCAAUUUUUGAUUACAGUUUAUUCUUUUUGAAGAUCAAGACACACUUUAUGAAAGGCAAGAAAACAAAUUCUACCCUUGAUAUGGCUAAAUUUCACGUUUUAUCAACUUGGCCGAAUCUGCCAACAGGGUGGCAGCUCGACCUCUCAGUUUUUAUUUGUAUCUGGAGUUCUAGGACUCCAAAUUAGGCGAGGUCAGAUUCGUUGGAAAGCUAACACUCCUAGAUACACUUAUAUGAGGGGAACCUCCCUGAAUUUUGUAGUUUUUAGGUCCAAAAUCCCCCCAGGAAACAGGGCAACGAACCUGCCCUGUUUUGCUAAUGGAGAAGGUAUCUCCAAUUCAUCUUAAAUCCCUGCUUCCUCAUCAGUCACAGCCAUGCCUUCCCUUUAUUCAUGGCAUUCCCGUCUCAUUUUAUGUCCUCUUAAGGUCACUGGUACCAAAUUAAUAAAUUAAGCACACCAUAAGUUCUCAUUCCCUCUGCAGUAUCCAGCAGAGAAUGUGGCCAAGGGAACCAAGAGUUCCCGAUGAUGAUUUCUGUCAAAUGGAGGGUUCCUUCCAAUCCCACCGGUCAUUAGUAGAUAAGUGUAAUAAGAACAACAUAUCCAAAACUUAUCAUGAUCCAACGGUGGAGUCCGGAGAUAUGGCCACUGGAGUAUUAUUGGUUUUACUCCAAAAUCUGCAGCUCUUUCUAUCCAUUUUUCUCUUCAUCUUUUUCUUUAAGGCACUUAGAUUAAUCUAAUCCAUUUAACCUCACUCAUUUCUGCAUUUUCCCAACAUUUUAUGUUAAAGAACCCUAAUUCCCAAUUCAAGAAAGGCAUAAACUUCUAAUCAAAUUGAAGUUGAUUUCAUAGAAAUUGGAAUUAGAACUCCUUGGAUGGAAAUCUAAACUUUACUUCACAAAUUUUAGAAGAAUCUUAGCCUUCUUCUCCUUGUAUGUUGUCAGCCACUUUUCCCCCUCUUCUCUUCACAAUUCUUCACUUUUCUUCUUGUUAAUUCUUCCACUCGAUUGUGUUCCUCCACUUAAUAAUUCCAAGGCUUAUUUGGGUUUACUAAUGUUAGGUGUUUACUCCAAGUUAUGAUGAAAGAAAAAUCUAAAAUUCUCCCCCCUCCUUAUUCUUAUUAUCAGCGGGCCAUGGAUGAGAGAAGGGAAGGGUAUUUAUAGUCCCAUCUCUUUUUAAUUCCAUUUUGGCCACAUCUUUCACCUUUUUGUUUUUUUUUCAGUAUUAUUUUAUUAUUAUUAUUUUUGCUUUAUUUUAUAUUAUAACAAUUUGGAAUUAUUAUAAACCUCCCCCUCUUUGUAUACUUUAUUCUCGAGCUUCACAGCUCCGACUAUGCUUAUGGACUUGAUGAAUUGGGUGUUUCGGCCUUACCUGGACCAAUAUGUGGUUGUAUUUAUUGAUGAUAUCUUAGUGUAUUCAAACUCUCACUUGGAGCAUGAACAACUUCUAAGGGUUGUGCUACAGACCUUAAGGGAGAAACAAUUAUAUGCAAAGUUGGAUAAGUGUGAGUUUUGGCUCCAGGAAGUGGUAUUUUUGGGCCAUGUAAUAUCCACAGAAAGAAUACUUGUGGUCCAAAAAAGGUUGAGGCCGUGUUAUAAUGGGAAAGGCCUAUCAAUGUGACAGAAAUCCAGAGCUUCUUGGGCCUUGCUGGAUAUUACCGCAAGUUUAUUGAGGGGUUCUCCACCAUAACAUCACCUUUAACUAAGCUGACCCGUAAGGAGGUCAAGUCUGUUUGGUCAAAAGACUGUGAAGCAAGCUUUAGAGAACUAAAGGAGAGGCUUACUUCUACUCAUGUGAUGGCCCUCCCAUCGGGGACAAAAGGCUUUGUGGUAUAUAGUGAUGCCUCAAAAAAGGGUCUGGGAUGUGUAUUGAUGCAACACGGGCAUGUGAUUGCUUAUGCAUCAAGACAGCUAUAGUCGCAUGAGGUGAAUUACCCGAUUCAUGACCUAGAACUUAUAGCGGUGGUGUUUGUCUUAAGAGUAUGGAGACAUUAUUUUUAUAGGACACAAGUUCAAAUCUUUACAUACCAUAAAAGUUUGAAGUAUUUGAUGUCACAGAAGGAGUUGAACAUGCGGCAGAGAAGAUGGGUAGAGUUAAUAAAAAUAUUACGAUUGCGUUAUUGACUACCAUCCUGUUAAGGCUAAUAUAGUAGUUGAUGCCUUGAGUAGGAAGGGAAAAAUAGUGAUGAAUGAUAUGGAGCUUAAAGAAUAGGAAAGUAUAGUGGAAUUAAAGAGAAUGGGCUUGCAGCUAAGUUUAGGGCCCGAGGGAUCACUAUUACCUCAGUUAAAGAUUCGAUUUGUGCUUUGAGACAAGGUCUUGGUGGUCAACAGGCAGAUGGAAAAGUAAAAGAGAUCAAGGAGAGGGUAAACAAGGGUAAAGAGACAUCAUUUCAAAUGUUAUCAGAUGGGCUAAUAGCUAUGGGUAGGCGGAUUUAUUUGCUUGAGGAUAAGACUUUGAAAGAUGAAGUGUUAAGAGAAGCUCAUAAAUCUCGAUUUUCUACUCAUCCUGGGAGUAAAAGGAUGUAUAGGGAUUUAAAGGAAUACUACUGGUGGCCAAAUAUGAAGAGGGAAAUAACAAAAUUUGUGUCGAACUGUGGGAUCUGUCAACAAGUAAAGAUAGAACACUAGAAACCUGCAGGGGAAUUACAAUCAUUAUCAAUUCCAAAAUGGAAAUGGGAGAAUAUUUCUAUGGAUUUUAUGAUGGGAUUACCCAAGGGAGUGAGGGGGAAUGAUGCCAUAUGGGUGUUCGUGGAUCGACUAACAAAAUCAGCUUUAUUUUUUUCUAUGAAGAUGAUUGAGUUGGUAAAUAAGCUGGCAAAAUUGUAUGUAAAUGAAGUAAUCAGACUUCAUGGAAUGCCAGUUUCAAUUAUAACAGAUCGGGAUCCAAGGUUCACAUCGCGAUUGUGGCCGAGCUUGCAACAGGAAAUAGGGGGCAUAGUUGUAUAUGAGCAAAACAUUUCAUCCCAGAUGAAUGGUCAAUCUAAAAGGACCAUUCAAACUCUUGAGGAUCUCCUGAGGUCCUGUGUGCUGAAUUUUAGAGGGAAUUGGGAGAAUCUCGUACCAUUGGUGGAGUUUACUUAUAAUAAUAGCCAUCAAGCUACUAUUGGUAUGGUUCCAUAUGAAGCCUUGUAUGGGAGGAAAUGUCGUACCCUAAUUUGUUGGGAGGAAAUAGGAGAAAGGAAGCUUUUGGGACCUGAAAUGGUGCAACUCACAACUAACAAGGUAAGGGUGAUCAAAAAGAUGAUGAAGGAAGCCUAGGAUAGACAAAAACAUUACGCAGAUAGUCGAAGAAGGCCCUUGGAAUUCUAAGUGCAGGAUAAAGUAGUUUUGAAGGUGGCUCCUUCGAAAGGCAUCAUUCGAUUUGGAGUAAAAGGGAAAUUAGCCCCGAGAUAUAUUGGCCCUUUAGAAUUGCCUAUAUAUUUGGACAAGAUUCACAAUGUGUUCCAUUUUUCAUUGCUAUGAAAGGCCAAGAUAGACCCCUCACGGAUAUUGCCACAGGCUCCUAUGAAGAUAAAAGGGGAUCUAACCAUGAAAACUAAGCCUGUCAAGAUCUUAGAUCAAGAUGAGAAGUUGUUGAGAAAUAAGAGAGUUCCCUUGGUGAGAGUAUUAUGGAGAAGCUCUUGAAUAGAAGAAGAAACAUGGGAAAAAGAAUCCAAGAUGAAGGAGAAGUUUCCGCACUUAUUCUCCGACAUGGUAUGUAACUGGAAUUUCGAGGAUGAAAUUUUUUUUAUUAGGAAGGGAGAAUGUAAAUCCCAAGAAAAUCAAGGCUAGAUUAAAUUACAGAAAAUAAACUAAACUAAAAAGAAGUGGGGGCAAAACAAAUACACUUAAAGAAAAUGGGGUCUAAAUGCAAAUAAGAAUAUUUAUAGAGCAUAAAUACUCUUCUUUCAAAAAAAAAACAAAAAAACAAAUAAAUCUGAAACUAUCGUGAAGAAAGAAAAUGGGGAGUUUUUGUAUCCAUUUUUAUAGAUCAAGAGAGAAAUACAAAAAUUUCAAGAACCCAUCCAAGAUUAAGGGUUAUAGGUAGAAUAAACACUAGAGGGCAAGCGAUUAACAAGAAAAAAAUUGAACAAGAAAACAAGAGGGGAGGGUCAACUGUCAUUAAAAAGAAAAGGAGGGAUCGAGACCUUGAUUCGUACCGGGUAAGGUAUUCUAAACAUAGAUUUAUGAGUCAUUUUAAAGUCGAAUAUAUAUUGAUGCCUGGAUGUUAAAUUAUAGAUUUGAUUUCUAUAACUCUAGAUAUGGUUAAAAAUCUAAGGAGAGGUCAGACAGUAACAGUUCAAAAAACGAGACAGUAACAGUCCAAAUGAUUAUUGAUGAGCAAUUUUGAUUAUCUUAGAGGUAGAACUGGGUUCUUCUUUCCUCAGAGAACUUGUAGGCUCAUGUCUUAGCUUUCCAACGAGACUAAUCUUGCUUGAAUCGAAGUUUUAUAACUCCAAAUAUAGUUAAAAAUGUGAGAGAGGUCAAACGGUAACAGUUCAAAAAAUGAGACAAUAACAGUUCAAAUGAUUAUUGAUGAGCGAUUUUGACUGUCUUAGAGGAAGAACUAGGUUCUUCUUUCCUAAAGAACUUGUAGCCUCAUGUCUUAGCUUUCAAACAAGACUGAUCUCGCUUGAAUCAAAGUUCUAUAACUCCAAAUAUAGUUAAAAAUCCGAGGAGAUGUCAAAUAGUAACAGUUCAAAAAACGAGAUAGUAACAGUUCAAAUGAUUAUUGAUAAACAAUUUUGACUAUCUUAGAGGCAGAACUGGGUUCUUCUUUCCGUAAAGAACUUGUAGCCUUAUGUCUUAGCUUUCCAACGAGACUAAUCUCACUUUAAUCAAAGUUCUAUAACUCCAGAUAUAGUUAAAAAUCUAAGGAGAGGUCAGACAGUAAUAAUUCAAUGUCUAGACAAUGACAGUUCAGGAUUUAAACAGAAACAGUUCAAAUAUAAAAAAAAGAAUGAUAAUUGGGGUUGGACAAAGAAUGACAAUAUUAAUGGGUGAAAUGAGAAAAACAUAAAAUAUUAAGAAAUGACUGAAAGAAAGAGUUAUUGGUUUGAUAUGGUUAUUAUAAAACAUAUCCUUGAGUGAGGAAAAUUUAUGAGAUUGAACCUGUGAUUUGCAGGAUAGACCACAGAUGUGGUGCAUAUGCAGCAACAAGGGAGCACGAGUAGAGCUUUUAUUGCAGGUAGGUGAAUCGCACCUAUACCUUCUAGUUAAAUUCCAUGAUUAAUAUAUAUUACUGAUGUGAAAUGUGAAUUACUGAAUGUAUGUGUAUUCAAGGGGAAAGGUUGUUGUGUGAAUUGCUAAGUGAUGAAAUUAUCAUUGAGAAAGGAAAAAUGAGAAGUGUGAUUUGAGGCAUAAACUAGCAUACAUUUAGUGUAAGUUAGGAUUUCAGGUAAGGGGAUCGCCACGUUUGGACUAACAUACAUUUAGUGUAUGUUAGAAUCCCAGGUAAGGGGAUCACCAUGUUUUGGCUAGCAUACAUUUAGUGUAUGUUAUGAUCCCGGGUAAGGGAUCACCAUGUAUUGGCUAGCAUACAUUUAGUAUAUGUUAGGAUCCCGGGUAAGGGGAUCACCUUGCAUCGACUCCUACGGGGUGAUGAUGAUGAUACUAGUGAAAUUUGUAUCAGUAAUGUGUUAAACAAAAAUAAUCAUGUUUGAUCUUAUAAAGUCUAGAAUGGAGAUUAAUAGUGGAAGAUGGAACGGUUAUUAAUAUUUGAAUAAGGAAGAGAUUCUAAUGUAAACCAGAAGGGAGAAGUGAACAAAAUAUGAAUGCAUGUUACCCUGAUAAAAUUGUUAGAUAUUCGAGUUGUUAUAAUUAUGUGAUAUUCACCUUUCAAUAAUAUGUAUUUUAUUUUAGGAUCAUCGCAUGCACGACAGGAAUAGAUCAUAGAUUAUGUUCGUUUCUUGUAAUUUAGAUUCUAGGGGGUAUACCCAUGUAUUUUGUAAACAUUAAAAUGUUUGUAUAACUUAAUUUGUAUAAUUAAUGUUUAAACUUGAUUGAAUGAACUUAAUUCAGUAGUUCAUAUAACCAUAUUUCAUGACUAUGCAUUCAUAUUUUCUUGUUUAUCCAUCCAUAAUGAUAUUUUGUUAUACAAUGUAUAUCAUAAACAUUGUGGUUGAUAGGUGUGAGAUUAUUUGUGGAAAUUGAAAAUCCAGGAUGAUUGGGUCGGAAUUAAGUUAUGACAUCUGAGUUAUUAGAAGUGUGAACAGGUUACAUGUCGAUAACUUGGGACCUUUCGGCAUAUGGGGGACUCCGUCAAAAUUUUUAGUAGAUUUUAAUACGAAAACCAUGAAUAUAUAUAUAUAUAUAUAACUCUGUUUUUCGGUUGACAUGAGAUUUUUGUUUUAUCCCGGAAUGGGGGAUGUUACAAUAGAGAAGCAAAGAAGAAGAAGAAGAAGAAACGUCGGUCAGCUGCUCUCAGUUCCCUAGUUCGCAGCCGCCGCCACAAGCCACUGUCAGCCUAGCUCCCAGAGCACCUCCAUUCCAGGUAAUUCUCUCCCCGUGUCUCUGUUUCCCAUAUUCAUCUUCUUGCAUGCAAAACGUGCACUGUGCACAUUUCUGCAAGCAAGGAAAAAUAAUUGCCCAUAGUAACCGGCUAAUUAUAUGGGCAUAGUAACCAGUCCGGGUUGGAUCAUCAGCCCAGUCCACGCGGCUGGGCUGAGUCCAACCCAUUAUAAGAUAGUUUAUAUUUUAUUUUGGGCUGAUCUUGGUAUAGUUUUAUUUUGGGUCGGGUCCGGCCUAUUCAAAAAACAAUUAAAACAUAUUUAAAAAAAAAAAUUGUGAUUCCCCGCGUAAAUUUUUACGCAAUUUUGAUUAACAUUGGUAUGUAUUUUUAUACCGUAAUGAUACAAAUCGGGUAUUAAAAUACCCAGUCUUCAUAAAAAAAAAAUGUUUUCAUGCGUACAACCAGGUCUCUAAAAGUUAAAAAAAAAUUCAUAUUGUAUUUUCAUACAACAAAGAAAACUUCAAAAAAUAUGUUUUAGCAUACAUUUUGGCUUUAAUAACUAGAUUAUUAAAGUCAUGAGAACUAGGCCAAUAUUUCAAAAAACUCAAAAAAGUAUUUUGUUUUGUUUUAGUAUCUAGGAUUAUGAAUUUACAUGUAAAACAUAUUCCUAAUAUUCAAAAGGUAUUUUCUUUUGUUGACAUAGAACGGUUAGGUUUUAUCUCGAUUUGAUAAGGAUCUUUUUACCGAGAAAAAAAGGACUUUUCUUAAACCAUAGAUAGACCAACAAUUAGAACUACAAUACAACCGUACCAUAUAUCAAACAAUAAAACAAUGUAGCUUACCUUAGGUAGGGCAUAUUUAGGGUGUGAAUACCUUCCCUUUACGCAACCAGUCCCCGUACCCAAUCUCUGAGACCAGUUAGGGUUCCUAGUGACCAAAAUACUAGGUGGCGACUCCCAUUCUAUUUUUCCACUGAUAAGAGACAAGCAUUCCUUGUCUUUCUACAUUUGCCAGACAGAUAAAAUACCUAAGUGAGGGUGGAUGAUUGCCAUGAUGCCGCACAUAUGCAACACUAUUAAUUAAUCAAUGAGAUCCAUUUUGAAAAGAAAAAAAGAAUACACAAGUGAGAGAAUAAAAUCCACAACCCACAAAAAAUAAUAAAAUUAUCUUCACCUAGUAUUUCUCUCUCCUAUUUGGAUCUAUUUAUUUCUAUAAAGUGGAUCCCAAUAAGUAACUAAUAGAAUAUCACUAGUUAUAAUUUGAUCACCAUACAAUUUCUCAUUCAAUUCCUCUCAUUUUAGAAGGAAAUAACGGUAAACAAAUACUUUGCAAAAUUCCUAAAAUGUUUAUGUUAUUAUUAAUAAAAUUAAAUGUAAGCUAAUCAAUUCAAUAUUGAAAAUAUAUGUAUCUCAUUAAGAAAAAUAUAUUUAAUUCCAGAAAAUAUUUGGAAGGAAUUAGUAUUAAAAAAACAAACACUUGGCAUUUCAAAUUCCUCACCCUAAAAAUCUUGAAAAUAUCUAUAACAAGUAGUGGAUAUCACCAUUCCCUUUGAAUUCUUAUGCUUAUUCUCUUUCUUUCUCAAAUCUUAGUAGCCUAUCUCUCACUCUCUAUAGUUGGGUAGCACUUUGCACAAUUUUAUUCGAUUUCAUUAUUGAAAAUGUCGUAGCAAUGAUGGCUUUGUUGGGCUUAGAGAGCGUUUGAAAACGCGGUUGUACCCGUGUUUCUAAAAAAUUUAAAUUUUGUUUUGCUAAAAGUUAAUUUCUUUAACGUUUUAAAUCGUUUUGAUGCACUGAUCUCAAAAAUGAUUUUAAAAAAAUGAAAAAACAUCAUUUUGAUGCAUUUUGUCAUGAAAAGCACUUUGAAAAGCAACCACGACCACACUUCCAAACAGGCCUAGCUGGGAGCCCAUGGUUAUUUGGUGGUGCAUCUUUAUUAUACAAUGUAUGGCAUGUAUAUAUAUGUAUAAGAAUUAAUGUAGGGUUAUUCCAAUGUUGUUAUCCUUACGGUUACUGCCGUAUACUGCCACAUAUAUAUAAAUAAGAAAGGUUGGCUAAGACACAACCUAAGUCAUUAUAUUAUUCUGAACUUGGUAUAAGAGCCCUAACUAAGCUAAAACACCUAUUCUCCCCUUUGCAAUGGACUCCUCAUCCUAGCCACAUGUUACCUCUCCUAUCGUAGCAGCACUGUCUUCCUCAGCUUCUGUUUUGCAGUGGGCACAACUCAUAAAUGGUGUUCAUGCUCUCUUCAACCCCAACAAUGCUCUUUUGUUGCAACCCUCUUCUGAUGCGAUCUUUGCUACUACAAUUGUCUCCCUCUCCCACACUUACCAAGUCAUCUCUCUCAAAUUAACAAACACCAAUUAUCUAUAUUAGCGAAUGUAGAUGAAGUUGUAUAUUCUAGGCCAAGGAGUUUUCGGCUUUAUUGAUGGUUCUUACUCUUACCCCUCUCUACAUGUUCUUGCUACCAAUGGUGUCUCUCUUCAGGUAAACCAGCUCUUUCUUCAUUGAAAACAAUAGGACCAACUCAUUCUGAGUGCUCUAAUUUCUUUGCUAUCCAUGGAAGUUCUUCAUGUUGUUGAUGACUUCCAAUCCUUACAUUCUAUCUAGCGCACACUUAAGCAAGCUCUAGCUUUCACAUCCAAUUCUCAUAUUAUGCAACUUCAUGGCUCCCUUCAAGACCUUUGAUAAGGUGAUGAGUCGGUAACUCACUUUAUGCAAAAAUCUAAGGCCUUAUUUGAUGAGUGAGCCAAUGUUGGUUGGCCUGUUUCGCUAGAGAAUUUAACUUAUAUGUGUUUUGUGGUCUUCACGGAGAGUUUAAAUUCUUAGUAACAAGCCUUGUGACCAAGUCAAAACCUCUCUCGCAUGCAGAUCUAUUUAGUCAUCUUUUAACACGUAAAUUUAUUCACAAAUCAUUCCAUAUGUCCAUGGGGUCUGCUGCCAUCAAUGCUCCUCUAUUGCCCAUGCCAAACACACCUCCUUCAACCCUUAUCUAUCAACAUCAGUCUAUUGCACACUUUGGUCGCAAUAAGGGUUGUUUUCAUGAAUCUUGGCGUCUAAACCACUUCAGCCACAAAGGGCACAGUUCUACAACGUCCAGACCAAACUUUCGCAGCUUCCACAACUCCUCUACCAAUGAUGGCAGACAAGGCAACUAGCAUGGAAAUUUGCAGCACAGUAAAGGGCAAAAUCCAUGCUGCUAAUUAUGCCAAACAUUAGGUCAUACUGGGCCUCACUACCCUCAGCUUCAGUACCAUGGCUAUGGACAGCAACUUAGUGCAAAUAUAGCGUUGCGUAAUCCCAUAAGUACUACAAAAUGGUUUCUGAAAACUGGUGCCAAUAACCACAUCACACCCAACCUUGCAACCUUGACUACUGACACGACCAAAAGCUUGAUGUCUUUUUCCAAGUGCAGGAGUGUCGAAGUAAUAAAUAACCCGGCAAGACCGGGGUCGAACCACAGAGAGGUGAAUUGUAUAAAUUAUAAAUAACAAUACAACAACAACAACAACAACAACAACAACAAUAACAAUAAUAAUAAUUAUAAUACUCAGUACGUGGCGUUGUUAUACCUGAGAAUGAUCUAAAAGAUCGGGUCACAGGUUUCCAGCCUAUAUACUGAAUUUAUGAAAAGAUCAAAGAUAUAUAUAUUAUAUAAUAUAAACAGAAUGUAAAUAAUAAUAAUAAUAAUAAUAAUAAUAAUGAAAGCAGAAGAUGAAGAAAUUAAUGAGAACUUUGAGAUGAAAGAUUAACGUAAGGAUUAAACAAUGAUAAAAACAAAUGUCAAGGUUAGAGGAUCCACUAAUGGUACUUCAAACAAGUAUAGUAUAAACUCUUAUUACUCAAUUGGAAACCACACAUAAAGGAGGUUCCAAUCAGAUUAUAAAUUGUUAACAUGAUUACAUUAGUUAUCUUAUUCGAAUAAAGCUAAUACUUGUAAAUGUUGGCAGGCAUUCAUGAUUAUAACUUAUGUUAACAACAAAUCAAGUUCCUUUCAUAGCUCAGGUGUCGGUUAUACCAUACAGUAUGGGCUAUGAAAGUGCCAAGUAUUUGUUGUACCAAGUGUUAUACAACAUAAAUCUAGAUUAACCAUUUAACAAGCAAAGUAUUAAAAGUGAACAAGAUAACAAAUAUAAAACAUGUUAGUAUCCAACGUUAAGGUCCAUGUUAAGUUUAUAUUAUACUUAUUCUUACACCAUUAGUGUACCCUUUUCACCUUGACAUAAUUAACUUAGCUAGACAUAAUGAAAGAAAGAAACAUAAAUGAACAAGAUAAGAACAUAAAUGAGAAAGAGGUUAACUAAGUAAAGGAAAGGAAAUGAAGUGCAUAAACUUGAUAUUAAUGAAAGCAAGACAUAAGCAAUACAAAGAGAGAAAGCAAGAGCAUGAUCUUGAUCUGAAACCAAGAUGCCUCAAUACAUGGUAAGUGCCUCCUUUUAUAGGCCAAAAUUUGGAACUAUUGAUUUGUUGACUAAUUGAUGAGUGGGUGGCCACAUCUUGACUUGAUAACAAUCCUUAUCUUCUUGUCUGAACAAGACGUCAUUGCUAACAUCAUAAUUUGCCCAGAAUCCUCAGGAAUGUUCUAGGAAAUUGUCUCAGCUUUCCAACAAAAAAAAGAUGAGGUCAUUUGGACUUCUAGAACUCAAGAUAUGGGCUGAACACUAAAUAGUGUUUGGGCUGCAGGACAGCUUCGGACUUCUUCGUUGUUCCUUCAAUUUGGACUUCAAAAUGACCUUUUUAAAUCUUGGGCUCCUCAUGAAACUUGUAGGCCUUUGUCUUACCUUUCCAUCCAUAUAAAAUGGACCUAAAUCCGAGACAUAGAGCUCCAGAUAUGAUCCAAUUACCGAGCAAUGUUCCGGUUUGGACUGCACCGACAUCUCUUUUCUAAGUUUGGCCAUCUCUUUGUCUUUAACUUUCAAUACUUAAACUCAUCAAUCAAUCCUUUUAUUUAUGUGAUAGUCCUGCAUUUAAAAUGAGCAUUUACCAUAAAUUAAGGUAUCUUAUAAUAUCAAACUUGUUAUUAUAAAACAUGCUUUAGUUAAGGAGUUAUUGAUACUUUAAGUGCAAAAUGAUGAUAUAAAACCUUGAUAAACAUGCACUUUUAAGUACUAAUCGACUACUUCAUAACCAUACCUUGGUAAUGAUAAUUUGCAUGUUGAUGAUGGUAAGGGACUUCCCACAUCUCAUAUCGGUCAUACCAAAAUAUAGACACCACAUCGUUCUUUCACUUUAUCUAAAUUUCUUCAUGUUACUGCAAUCACGAAACAUUUGCUUUCUAUUUAGAAAUUUUAUCUCGAUAACAAUGUUUAUUUUGAAUUUCAUCCAUUUGUGUUUUAUGCCAAGGAUCUCAACACCAAUGGAGUACUCCUCUCAUGUUAGAGUAAAGAUGAUCUCUAUGCUUUGUCCAGGUCUUCCGUCUCGUUAGUUCCUCAAGCAUAUUGGUCUCCCUGUAUUUAUGCUUUUGCUGAUUUAUGGCAUUGUCGACUAGGUCAUCCUCCUCUUGUAUUUUUCAAUUGUUAGUCUUGAAAAAUAAGAUCAUUUGUAACAAUAAACAUCUUAAUUUUCAAUGUCAAAGUUGUCCAUCAGGAAAAUCAUCGGAUUUGUCUUUAGUGAUGUGCGGGGUCCUACUCCCCUUUUUUCUUUGGAUGGCUAUCUUUAUUUUGUUAUCUUUGUUGAUGUUAUAUGUGAUGAGAUCAAGGUGUUGCGUUCUAAUCACACUUGGUCUCUGGUUCCCUUUCAUCUUUCGAUGAAUGUUGUUGGCAACAUAUGAAUGUAUCGGAUCAAACAUCGUGUUGAUGGCAGCAUUGAGCGUUAGAAAGCCCGUCUAGUUGCUAGAGGCUUUACCCAGCACAAAGGAAUUGAUUAUUCUGAAACCUACAAUCCAGUUAUUAAACAGACCACCAUCAGAUUAAUCUUCUUCAUUGCGGUUUCACGCAAUUGGAAAAUUCAUCAGCUCAAUAUUCAUAAUGCAUUUCUCAAUGGUGCUCUUACUAAAGAGGUCUACAUGAAACAACCUCUAGGUUUUGUUGACUCUACUCUUCCAUCUCAUAUGUGCAGAUUGCACAAGUCGUUGUAUGGUUUAAAACAGGUAUCGAGGGUAUGGUACACUCGUCUGAGUGACUUUUUGCUCUCCAUUGGUUUUAUUGCCUCCAAGAUUGAAAACUCCUUAUUUAUCUUAUCUGAUGAUACUAAUAUCUUUUAUAUCCUGGUGUAUGUUGAUGAUAUUCUGCUUACGAGUAGAAACUCUACUAUGCUUCAUCACCUAAUAUAGUUACUGAGUUUUGAAAAGCUCCGUGACUUGGGCAUGGUUCACUACCUUUGGGGUAUUGAAUUUCAGUCUACAAGUAUGGGUUUGAUGUUGCGCCAGCACAAAUAUAUUCUUGACAUCCUCACUUGGACUGGUAUGACUUCCUACAAACCUGAUGAUACUCCAGUUUCUCCUUCAAAAGUUACUAUACUGCCAGAUAAUCCAUUCUCUAAUCCUACACGAUUUCUUCAAAUCAUGGGUGGUCAUUAGUACCUUACCUUCACCUGACCAGAUAUCUAAUUUGUUGUUAACAGUCUGUCAGUUUAUGUAUGCUUCUACAGAUUCUCAUUAGGCCAUCGUUAAACGCAUUCUACAUUACCUUAAAGAUAUAACAUCUUAUGGUUUUCAUAUCACUCAAGGUUUCUCUUUUGCUCUACAUGAUUUUAAAUGCAGAUUGGGUUGGUAAUAUUGAUGAUUACAAGUCUAUAGGUGGUUACCUUGUUUUUUCUUUUUUUGUCAGACGUCGAUCUCAUAGAAGUCAAGCAAGCAACGCAUAGUUGCUCACUCAUUUACUUAGGCUGAGUAUAAAGCCUUAGCGAACGGCAAUGCUAAGGUCAUCUGGCUUCAAUAUUUAUUAACAGAUCUGCAGGUUCCCUCCGUCUCUACUCCUACUAUUUGGUGUGAUAAUCUUGGUGCCUCUUAUCUCUCUGCAAAUUCUAUUUUUCAUGCUUAUACUAAACAUGUUGAGGUGGAUUAUUAUUUUUUCCGAGAUUGAGUUGUGAAGAAAGAAAUUUAUAUUUGUUUUAUCCCUUCGCAGGAUCAACUUGCGGAUGUCUUCACCAAGCCACUUUCUACUACUUUCUUUAUUGCUUUCUGUUACAAGCUUCGGGUCAAUCCUCCACCCUUAACUGGAGGAGGUACAUUAUAGAAUGUAUAGCAUGUAUAUAUAUGUAUAAGAAUUAAUGUAGAGUUAUUCCAAUGUUAUUAUCCAUAUAACGGUAUGUUUUCCAUUCUAUUAUUACAUAAGAUUGAGCUUCAUUGCAAGAUUUAAUGAGCCUUUUUUGGAUCGGUUAAUGGGUGUGCAAUGAUUGUGCAUUAAAUGCACACCCCACUUGUCAUCUCCCUACCCAAUUUCUGGUGUGGAUUUUGUGUUUCUUGCAGGGGCUUGGAGUUGUUUUCAUCUUGGAUUGGUUAUCUUUGAUGUCACGAAAAAAUAAUAACAUAGAGGAAUUUUUACAGCAUUUCAUAGUUUGGUUAACUAUUUUAUGUCUUCCUUUGAUUGACCACCAUGAUUAUAGGCAAAAAAACACAAUCUUAAAAAAUGAUAGAAAGUGAAAAGAAACCAGAUGUUAGGCUGAAUAAACAUAGCCACGUGUAUCAUAUUUUAGAUUUUAAUAAAAAAUAUCCUCUUUAGUUUGUAUUUUCCUUUAACUAUCCAGUUUGUGCAGGGCAGCUCUGUACAACAGUCGACGUUGCUCUUUGCUUUCUCUUUUAACUAUGGUGAGUCAUUUCUAGUCUUGCUCUCUUUUUAUUUAGUUGUCAGUGAAGUUUGUGUCGUAAGGUUUUGAAUUCUUUAGGGAGUUCUGAUUGUUGUUAGGUGAUUAGCUGGUGACAACUUGGCUAUUAGCUAGCUUUGAUCUAGGAUUAUAGGUUGCUCCUGUCAACUUUUAGACUGUCAUUUGUUUGCAUUGGAUGCUGUGUAGAUAAAGCAGCAAAAGAAUGAAGUUUUCUUACAAAGACAUAGCUUUGAAGCUCUUUUUAUUCUUUUUAAACUUCCUUGUAAGGAAAUACGUGUUUAUAUACUUUUCACGAAUUCAUUAUUGUUUUAUUUUUUUUAUACAACCACAUAAAAAUCAUGAACUCGUGAUUUUUUUUAUUUUUGUUUGAAACUUGCUCUUUAGAUUAGGAUAAGUUAUUAUUUAGAAAAAUAUGCUCCUAAUAAAACGACAUGUUUUUGUAAGAAAAAAAAAACAAUAAGAAAAUGAUAGUUUUUUUCCCAAGAAAUAAAAUUUUCCCUUCUCAAUUUAAAGUAUUGAGAUUGUUACGGAUAUUUAUUUUAAUUACUUUGAUUUUUUAUUGAAAAAAUGAUGUUGCCUUUUCAUAAAAAAGAAAUUAUAAAUAAGGAAUGGGGACUUCAAUUUAAAAAAAUACAUUUUCUUCUUCAAAAGCUAAAUCCUUUAAAAAAUACUUUUGUACGUGUUCAGAAUCUGGUGGUGGAAUCAGAUUCUUCAAUUCUUGUGGGAUGGCUGAGCCAUGGAAAUAUGCUCAUGAGUUCUUCUCUAUUUCAACCCUCUUUAAGCUCUUAUUUCAUGUUCAGUUUGUACCUGUUCUGCGUGAAGCUAAUGUUGCAGCUGAUGUGAGGGAAUGAGGCUCUGUAUAGAAGGAGCUGCUAUAGAAAGAAUAUGGUAUGGUUGCAUCUAUUGUUUUUAGUUUUAAUUUUGUGUUCUCUCUCUUCGUGUACUUUAUCAUCUUGUUAUGGAGUCCAAGGGCCUGUAUAACAAAAUAAUUUUUCUUUUUCUUUUUCAGUUUUGUUUUUCAAGUUCCAAUAAAAAGUCAAAGAACAUGUUCAUCUCUAAAGUUUUAAAACAUUUUUUCAACCCAGGAAACUAAAAAAUAUGUUGAUGCUAUAUUGUUUUUCAUUUCGAGAAAAAUAAACACGUAGAAAUCGUCUAGUUUUUUAUGACAUUCUUAAUUUUUUAACGUACACUAUUUUUUUAUCAUUAAUUUGAGAAACAUCACCUAAUUAAAUUGUACAUCUAAUUUUCCACUCGAACAUUUUCAAUUUUUGUUAUUCAUUCAAAGGUCCUCUCUACCUAUGAUCGAAAGUCAAUGGAACCAAAGUAAAUGGAGCAAAAGUUAAAUGGAACAUUAUUAUUAAUUCAUUUAUGAACCCUUCACAAAAAAAUAGAUGGUGCUUACAAUACUGAAAUGUUGGGUCAGUGCCUGCACUUUCAUAGCUUGGUUUCACUGAUUGUAAAAUCCUCGACCACUUUAGAAAACUCACCUUUUAUUUUUUUAUUGUUUUUUAAAAUAUUUUUUAUUUAAAAAUAUAUUAAAAUAAUAUUAUUUUUUAUAUUUAUACAUCAAAAUAAUGGUAUGAAAAUACUUAAAAAUACUAAUUUAAAAUAAAAAAUAAAAAAAAUUUAAAUUUUUAAAAACAUUUUUAAAACAUGAAAUAUGUGAUAUAUCAUACUACUCAGUAAAGUUUCUUCCAUCUGAAAACUCAGUAAUUAUCUUCAUCACACAUGAAAUCAAUGUCAGAAAACCCACGAGGUAGUCUUCCUCGUUAACCAUAAACUUACGAACUCGUGAAUCAAAUUCAAUGGAAAAAGAGAAGGAGAAGCGCCUUUUCCAUGGUUGUCUUCAGUUGGUGGAAAAUUUGGAGUAAAUGAUGUUUUCCAAGUUUAGCUUUAUUUAUAGAAAAAUGAAAAAUACUUGUUUCUUUUUUUCUAAUUUGUAAAAAGAAUGAAUUUGAACACAAACUCUAUUUUUCAUGUUUUUUUUUGUUUUUUUUUAUAAAAAUGGAGUAAUACUCCAUUAUUGAACACUGUUGAUCAAUUUCACAAGUUCAAGAAUUAUAACAAGUAAUAAAAUGAUGAGCAGAAUAAUAUCGUUCCACAAGAAUUUGCAAAAAUUACUACUAAUUACUAAAGUCUUUUAAACUAUGAUCUAUUUGAGGAAUCGAAUGAGAUAAUAUAUAAAACAAAAAUUAAUGAUUAAAAACAAACAGUCAAUUGAUUAAAUAUUAAUGAUUUCAAUUCUACUAGUUAUAAGAUUUUUGACUUACCAUAACUAUUCAUAUGUGAAGUUUCUCAAUUGAAUUAAUUACUUCUACGUUGAUAAUCAGAUUUUUCUAACUUAAACAUUAAUCUCUCUCUAGUAUCAAUGAAUUAUUUCGAUAAGCAAAUUUCAUAUACUCUACAAAAGUUCUGAACUUAUCGAAAUUUAUUAAGUACCGUAAAACCUGUAACGAUUACAAAAGUUUCUAGGAUAACUAUAUCCUAUAGAUUUCUUAAGGUAUUUCAAACAAUAGCUAAAACAAUUAUAUAUCACUUCUCAAUCUCAAAGUGAAUUCUAAAUCACGCAAAUGUUGGCCAAACAUACACAAGCAUUACACAUAUAAUUAAAUACUCAACAACGUAAUGUAAUAAUUCAAUCGAAGAAAUUGUUUACAUAUUCAUAGUAAGGUUACAUCAAAAUUCCCAGAAUAAAAGUCUACUUCAUAGUUAAAUUAAAGAGAAACAAACUUAAUACGAUGAAUAUCACUCAAAAGCAGAGAAUAGCAGUGAAAUAGGUAGGUGUCCUCCAAAUCUUCUCUAUUUUUUCCUCUAUUUUCCUUCCCUCUUUGUGCCACCUAUUCUUCUUUGUUUAGUCUAUUUUAGGGUCUCUCUAUGUAUGCACGUCUCCCUUGCAGACCCCUCCCUUUUCUUUGAUAUUGUGGCCUUUCUAUCCCUGCUGGAAUGAAGAUAGUUUUCUUUUUUUAUUUGAAUUCCUUCCUACCCAGACAUUGCGGGCCAGAUUUGAGGUAGGAAACAUACGAAUUCAAAUAUCUCUAUUUCUGGAGAAAUUGUAAAAAAUUAAAUCUUCUUUCCAACAACACUGAUCUUACAAUUUUGAACCUCUGAGACUUGAGAUAAGGCGCAUAAACCGAGACAGUAUUUGAAGUGUAGGAAGUUCAAGUCUACUUCAAUCCCUGUUUUUCGACUUGUUUUUUUGGCUUCGAAACAAGAUAUUUAAAAAUGGUAACGAACAUCUGGAACUGAGUUAUAUAGCUUCUUUUGCAGCAUAUAGUAAAUCAAUGUUCGAUUUUACUGUCGAAUUCUUCGUGCUCAGUAACCUAGUAUCUGAAAACACAUUAAUUUCCCACGAGGUUAAUAGUUCAAAAAAAAAACCAAAAUUCUAAUUAUCUUGUGCUACACUUCUAAAAUAUUUUAAAAUCAAGCAUGAAUAGUAGAAAAUAUACAUACUAAAAAUUCCUUUAUCAUACACACCCAAAACUCCUGGAGUUACAAAUCUCUAAUAAAAAAAAAAAUCAUACCAACAAAUUAGAUUUAAAAAGAUAAAAUUUCUGGUAGAGUUUUUAAAAUUCGAGUCUAGGUCUUUGUCUUUUGGAUUUUUAUAAAUGAUUGAUAAGUUUGUACCAAGAGAUUUUAGUAUGGUAUGUUUCAUGUGGGCCCCGACGCAUUGAUUGAUAAACGCCACUUAUGAUAGCCAAUGAAUAAAAUUUCUCUUAAGAAAUAAUAAUAAUAAUAUUAUCAAAUUCCAUGGCCCUUUCUCCUUUGUACUGAUCGCUUUAUUUUUGUUUUUCGAAUUAUGAUUUUGAUUGUGGUCGUAGUGUAGCGAGACGUCGACAUAGCAGCUGUAUGGAGACUGGACAGGCCCUAAAGCAAAGGAUUGAUUUUUCGCUUUUAGGACUUCAAAGCACUGCAACUAGGUUGGUGAAGAAUUGAGUUUAACUGUGUGGCCUUCCUUGGGAAAAUUAAUGUCUUCAACAUGGAAAGAGAAAUGGAAAACUGCAAGGCAAAUGGGAUAAGAAAUCAAGAAGAGCAAUGAAGCAGUGACAAACCAUUUCUUUUUACAUGUGGGUCUUCCAAUUUUUAUUUUAUUUUAUUUUCCUUUCUGUGGACAUGAGGCAAAAUUCGUACAAGAUAUUGUGAAAAUUAAGGUUCCAGAAAAGCUGAACCGCACUAUGACAUUAACAGCAGUGACAGGCCUGAAGAUGUAAAAUAGCGAGUAAUUGCCAAGAUUGAUGGAGCUUUCUAAAAAGAUGUGGAGAUAUAAAUAUGUGGCGUCAAUUCGUUUCCACGUCAUAAAUGUGAUUGAUAAACGCCACUUAUAAUUACGUGUAUAGAGCCAAUGAAUAAAAUUUCUCUUCAAAAAAAAAAAAACAAAAUAUUAAAUUCCAUAGCCGUUUUUCCUUUGUAUUGAACACCCUAUAUUAUUUUUUUUCGAACUAUGAUUUUGGUUGUGUGUUUGCAGCGUAGUACGUCGUAGCUCUGAUACAAGGAUCAGUGGCGGAGUACUAUAAUAAUUAUAACAUCUUAUAUUAUAAACCUAUUCUAUAAUACGGAGCCACAUGGGAACCAAAAGAGUUAAUUGCCUCCUUAAUUUUUUUUAAUAUUUUUUAUAUUGAAAUAUUAGUAUAAUAAUUUAGUGAAUGGUUUAUAUAAAAAAGUUAUUAUUGCAUUUCCUUUUCUUUCUUUUUCUUAUCCUAACUAUGCAAAUUUCUCUUUUGCUUUCCCAUAUGUCCAGCUCGUUCAUUUCUCUUCAAGUAAUUAACUUUUUUGGUUUUUUACUUUAUAUUUUAGAUAAAUUUCCUUCAUUUUUUUUAUUUGUUUUAUUGUUUAUUGUUUAUUGUUUAUUGUUUAUUUUUAUUUUUUUAUAAUUAGUUAUUAAAAAUAUCAGAAUUUAUAAUAAUUUAAGUUUUUUAUAUGAAUAUGUUCAAAAUAAAUAUUUAAAUUUUAUAAUUUAAUCAAUUAAAUGUUUUAUUUUCUUAUUAUAAAAAGAAUAAAUUAAUAUUCAUGCAAAACCAUUAUUAUUGGCAUCUCUUGCAUUGGUAAAGUAAUUUAUUAAAAUAUAAUAUUUUCACAUGAUUUGUUUGUAAGUAAAAUAUCAAGUAGAAACCAUGUUUUUCAAGUAUUGUUUCUCUUAUACAGACACUAUAUAUUAUUCCUCAAUUAAAUGUCUAUAAAUUAUUAAGUAUAAUUUAAUCAACAUACUUAUUAUAUACAUAUAGAUAUGUAAGUUUUAUGAAGUGAUUUUAAAAUAUGAAAACUCGAAUAGAAGAAUUACAAUGUAAUUAAGUUUUUUUUCAUUUUAAAGUAUUUUUAAAUUAAUUUUACUUAAUAUAAAUUACUAUAUAUGUUUUGAAUUGAUUUCUAACACAUAUCUACAUAAUAUAGUAUUUGUUAUUAAUUUGCCCUCUUAUUUCAAAAACUCUGGCUCCGCCACUAAUAUACUUUGUAAUUUUUUUUUCUUUUUAUCUUAGUUAAUAUCAAUAAUUAUUAAUUAAUAAAGCAUUACAGCUGUAUUACCAUGCUAAUUUGAACUAAUGAAGUUAUUUUGAUCUUAUCUUAUAAUAAUAAGAUAUUAUUUGAAUUGAUGAAGUUAUAUUUAAAGUAUUGCUAUACAAGAAAUCUGCUGGUUAAUAGAUUGAUAUUUAUAUAAAUUAAUUAAUAUCGAGUCAUUAAUUGUGAAUACAUAAUAUAACCAAGACAUAUUGAUAAUUAAUAUCUUGAAAGAAAAAAAUCAAUUUAUUAAAGAGUAAUAGUAGAUAAGGUCAAAAUGUAACAAGGUUCAUCAUUUGUAAUGGCAAAUGUUGUCACCAUGUAUGCAGACCAUUUUAUCACAUUAUAAAAUGCACUAAUGAGAGUUUAUAAUUAUAUCACAUAACAACCAUUUUAAAAAAUUCAUGUUUUUACCUGUCUCUUUUAUUUGCUUAAAUCGUACAUUAAGUUUUGGAAGAUGAAUUUUAUAUAUAAAAAUAAUAUUUUCAAAAAAAUAAAUUACUUUUUAAUAUUUAAAUAUAUAUAUAAAAAAUGAGUUGAAUUUUUUUUUUAAUGUUUAAUUAGAUAAUAAAAAUAAGCAAGAAAAUAGAAGAUUCUGGUUAUGAAUUUUUUUAAAAUUAACAAAAUAUUUUUUUGUUGUCAACUUUAUUUCAGCUAUUAUUUAUUCAUGAAAAAUAUAUUAUUUUUUGGUUUUGCAAUGAAAAAUUAAUUAGAAAUAUAAGGACAUGAGAACUCCAAAAAAAAUCUGCACACAAAAAUUCUGCACUUUUCAAUAAUAAUAAAAAAUUAAUUAUUUAACUCGUCGACCCUUCAUGCGGGCGUGAAAUCCUUUUCGCGUUAUAAAUGAUUGAUAAGUUCGUUCCAAGAGAUUUUAGUAUGGUGGGUUUCAUGUGGACCCCGACGCCUUUUAAAUGAUUCAUAAACGCCACUUAUAAUUAAGGCUCGAGAAAAGCUGAACCGCACAAUGCUGCAUGUGCCCUCUUCUUCAGGUAAAGGACAUUAACAGCAUAAAAAAAUAUCCCAUAAAAAACAUUUCCUAAACAAAGUAUAAAGGCCUAAACCAGAAGCCAAUCUGACCUUUUUUAUUGUUAAUAUAGGAGCUUGAUCAUUAUAUUAUGACUUAUUAAUUUAAAAGAAGAAUUAUUACUAUAAUCUUUAUAUUUAUUGAUGGAAUUUUUUAUUGGUAUUUGCAUUAUCAUUUUGUUGGUAAUUAAUUUACCAAUAAAAUUACCUACAAAAAUGCUAUGUUGGUGAAUCCUUCGUCGGUAAUUUUUUUCGUCGGUAAAUCCAUAAUUAAUAAAAAAAUUAUUUUGCCGAUAAAAAAAGCGUGCAAAAAAAAAAUUAACUGCUUCAUUCCGUCAGUAUUUCUCUCGAUAAGUUUGUAUGUAAUUCCAUCAAUAAUUAUUUUAAAAUAUUUUUUAAAAAAUCUAUUUUACAAAACUAUAAAAUAAUUAAAUUAAUAUAAAUGAGCACUCUAUAAUAUUCAAAACACUUGAAAAAAAAACCAACUCAAACAAAUUUGCAACAAAUAAAUAACAAGAAAAAAUAAAUUCAACUAAAAAAAUUCAUAUGAAAAAAAUAAAGUUGCAAUUGCUGAAAAUUUUAAAAUCCUAUAAAUAAAUCAACUAAAAAUUGAUCUCAUAUGGAAAAAAAAAAAUCCUACAACAACAUUCAUACAAUUAUUAAGAACAAAAAAAAAAAAAAAUAUAGUGAAAAAAAAAAAUUCUUACCUUAAUAUAGUUGCAAGUGAAGCUAAGAAGAGUAAAAAAAAUCAUAAAGUAUAUUAAUUAAAAAAAAAACUAAGAAGAAAAAAAAGUAGAAAAAAUGCAUAUUUGAGCAUGGAGGAGAAGAGAAAGAGUUGAGGAGAGAAGAGAAGAAAAAGAAAUAGAUAUUGAUGUUUCUUACAUAUGAGGAAGAAGAAGAAGAAAGGAGCCUUGUUUGUUGUGAAAUUGGGGAUUCCAAACUUUUUAUUGGGGUGUUUUACCAAUGAUUUUACCGACGAAUAAUUAAAUAUUAAUAUUUUUAAAUAUUAUGUCGGUAAUAUUUAAUUUAAUCAAAAAAUUUUAGAAACCGCUAAAUAUCACCAUGGCUUUUCAAUUCUUCGGUGAUUCCAUCUAUAAUAUUUAAUUUAAAUAUUUAAUUUAAUCAAAAGUUUUUAGAAACCCACCAAAUAACACCAACUUUUUAAUCCGUCAGUGAUUUUGUCUUUAAAAAACAGUAAUUAACAAUGCAAUUGGGGAGUGAACAAUUCCAUAGCUCUCUAGAAAAUACCAAUGAAUUUUUUCGUUGGUGAUUCCGUUUGUAAAUGACAUGAUGAACAAUGUUAACAUUUUACCAAUAGAAUUACUGACGGAAUUUAUUCCAUCGGUCAUUCCGUUGGUAAAAAAUAACACGUCAUCAUUUUUUUUAAUUAUUUUUUUCCCACUGUAAUUCCCUCAAUAGAUACUGAGGGUAUAUUUCCAUCGGUAAAAACCGUUGGAAAUUUAUUGAUGAAAAUAUUCCCUCGGUAUUUUCGUUUGUAUUUAUCGAUUUUCUAAUAGUGAAUUGAAUUGAAUGUCAUAUGUUUCUCCUGAAUUCAAUCUACACUUUAAUUAUAUAAUAAAUCUCAUUCCUUACUUGGUUAAUCAAAAGGACACUCAGGGUUUGCACACAACAAUUCCUUACUUGGUUAAUCAAAAGGACACUCAGGGUUUGCACACAACAAUAAUUAAAACUGAAACUUCUAAUAGAAAUUAGAUUUUAGCUACUAACAAAUUUGAAUUGUAGUUGCAAUGCUUUAUUUAUAACUCAUGUCAAAUAUCAGUUGCGAAUUGAAUGCCAAAUCUCUCCUUAAAAAAUUGAGAAACCAUCAUCCAAAAUAUCAUAUUAACAAACACAAUAUUUAAACCAAAAACAUAAAAAGGAAAUUCUCGAUGUGCUCGCUUGAUAUAACUUCCUUAAUAUACAAGGUCAGGGGUAUGAUGGUGCUAGUAAUAUACUAUUAAAUAAUAUUUAUUUACUCUUAUUUAUUAAGAGUAGAAUAGUACUUUCAAUUUAAACUAUAUAAUUUCUUUAUAUUUAGGUUAACUCUAACACUCAUAAUAAACUAAUUAUUGAGGAUUAUGCCUUCUUUUUCUGUUUGAUUUGAAUUAUUUUAACAUGGUAUCAGAGCUGAUUUAUAUGGAACGAGGCUUAAUCUCAAAAAUAUUUUGAGUGAUAUUUUGUCUUUUCGCUUUUGCAUAAUCUGUAUUUUCAUCUUUCUUCAACUUCUGUAAUUUUGGUAUUUAUGUUAUGUCUCUGCAAUUGUUUUGGUAUUUCGUCUUCUGUAAUUUGGUGUUUGUGUUCAAUUUUUGUAAUUUGUGUUGUUUUGGAGUAAUCAUGUAAUUUCAAGAAGAUAUUUGUUGAGUAUUUGUAAUAUAUGUUUAAUUUCUGCAAUUUAGUACUUUGUCUUUCGCUGCUUUUGCGUUCUAGUUCUUGUUUGUUAAUUAUAGCUACCGAAAGAGAUGAUUUGCUUCACUCUGUGAGUGUGAGGUUGGAUGGAAAGAAUUAUUUGUAUUAGAGUUAUGUAAUGAGAAAUUUUCUUAAAGGUAAAAAGAUGUGGGGGUAUAUUAGUGGAACUUAUAUGAUACCUAAUAAUACUGAGAAGGGGAAUGUUGUUUUGAUAGAUACAUGGGAAGCAAACAAUGAAAAGAUCAUUACUUGGAUCAACAAUUUGUUGAGCAUUCGAUAGGUACACUGUUGGCGAAGUAUGAGAUAGCAAAAAGGGUUUAGGAUCAUCUAUAAAAGUUAUUCACGCAAUCAAAUUUUACAAAAUAGUAUCAAUUAGAGAAUAACAUAUGAGCUCAUAAUCAAAACAAUAUGAGUAUUCAAGAGUUGUAUUAUGCUAUGAUAGAUCUUUGGAAUCAAUUGGCUCUUGUAGAAUUGACAGAAUUAAAGGCAUGUAGUGCCUAUAUUAAGCAUAGAGAGAAGCAAUGAUUGGUAUAGUUUUUAACAGCACUUUGCAGUGAUUUCGAAGGACUUAAAGGUUCAAUUCUGCAUCAUUCUCCACUGCCUUCUAUUGACUCUAUUGUCAGUGAGUUAUUAUUGGCUGAAGAAAUACUUCUUCAGUCUUAUUCUAAAAAGGAAAUUCUUUCUACUUCAAAUCCUUAUGUACUAGCAAUACCCUCUAAUCCAUUCUUUAAUCAUCAGAAUAAGCCUUACAUAAGGAUUGGCUUUGAUGAGUGCAGUUUUUAUAAGCAAAAAGGUCAUUUGAAGGCUUAGUGUCCCAAGUUGAAACAACAGAAUCAAGCUUGGAAGCAUGGCAACCAGUCACAAUCUAAUGCUCAUAAACCACUUCAGGGUUAUAAACCACCACACCACAAUACUACAGUAGUAGCUUCAUCAAGCUCUAUCACCAUUCUUACUACUUGCUAAGCAAUUUCAUAAUUUUCUCUCCUUACAACCAUAAGCAAUGUUUGCUUCUUCUUUUAUAGGUCAGUUGCCCCAUAACUCCUUAAGUAUACAUUCUGAAUGGGUCUUAGAUUUUAGUGCUUCCCAUCAUAUGUCUCCAGAUUCUUCAUCUUUUACCCAUGUGUCCCUUUCAUCCUUCAUUCCUGUUAUGACUGUCGAUGGCAUUCUCCUACCUUUAGUAGGUGUUGGUUUUGUUGUCACACCUUACUUGUCUCUCCCUAAUAUUUAUUUUAUUUUAAAACUCAAAUUAAAUCUUGCUUAUAUUGGUCAAACAUAUGAUUCUGGUGAUUAUUUAGUCAUAUUUUCUGGUUCUUUUUAUUGUGUACAAGUCAUAGGGAGAAUGGACUACAUAUUUUGGAUGAGUUAAAAAUGUCAGUUGUCGUUGUUACUGCUACUACUACUAUUGAUUUCUCUUCCUUUCGUUUGAGUCCUUCAUCUUCUAGUUUUUAUUUAUGGCAUUCUUAUCUAGGUCAUGUUUCGUCUUCUCAUUUAAUAUUUUUAGCAUUCAUAUGAGCUUUAGAAAAUUUAAAAACUUAUGAUAUUUCUGAAUGUAGUGGAUGUAAACUAGCAAAAUUUUCCGCUUUACCUUUUAAUCGAAGUAUUUCUAUUUCUUCUUCACCAUUUGAUUUUAUUCAUUAUGAUGUAUAGGGACCCUCUCCUACUGCCACAAAAGGACAGUCUUGAUAUUAUGUUUUAUUUAUUGAUGAUCAUACUCAUUAUUGUUGGGUUUAUCUAAUGAAACAUCGUUCUGAAUUCUAUGAGAUAUAUACAGCCUUUCGAGCUUUUAUGAAAACUCAACAUUCUAUUGUAAUCAAAUCAUUUAGGUGUGAUUUGGGUGGAGAAUAAACUUUUAAUAAAUUUUGUCAAUUGCUUACCUUAGAUGGAAACCAUUCACCAAACUUCUUGUACAUAUAUUCUUAAGCAAAAUGGUGUUGCUGAAAAAAAACAUAGGCACAUUGUCGAAAUUGCUUGUUCUCUCUUGUUGUCUUCUUCUGUUCCUAAUGAGUUUUGGGGAGAAGUUGUCCUUACUUCUGUAAGUUUGAUUAAUACAAUCUCAUCUUCUCAUAGUUUAGGUUUAUCUCCUUUUAAAAAGUUAUAUGGGCAUGUCCCUGAUUAUUCCUCCUUUAGAGUUUUUUGUUGUACUUAUUUCGUUCUUCGUCCCCAUGCAGAACGCAGUAAGUUGUUCUCUUAUUCUACUAUUUGUGUCUUUUUGGGUUAUGGUGAAGGUAAAAGGGGUAUCGUUGUUUUGAUCCAAUAACUCAAAAAUUUUAUAUGUCUCGUCAUGUUGUCUUUCUCGAGCAUAUACCUUUAUUUUAUAUUCCAUCCACUACUCAUAACUUGACUAGACCUGAUAUUAUUCAUAUCAAUCCUUUUUUUGAGGAUUUUGAUAAUAUAUCAUCACAGGUUCCUAGUACCUUAAAUACCAUUUCUCAUGUUCAACUAAUUUGUACUCAUCAUCCUACAGGUACUGACACUUUACUCUCUAGCAAACCUGAAUCUCUAUUUUCAUCUACAACCCCCCAAGCUUCGUCUGAGAUUAUGGAUCCACCUCUACUACUUCAAUUCAUACACAUUCGUAUGUAAACCCCAAGUUGAAAUUAAUUAGAAAAAAAAAUCAAUAUUUAUGAAGCAAGGUUAAAAUAAGUAAAAAAAUAAAUUAGGAAGUCAAUCUAACAAUUAAAGUGUGGGAAUGAAAAAAACAAAUACAAGAUAGAGGAAUUAAAGUGUAUAAAAAGAGAGGAAGAAAUUCUAGGAAUUAAUAAGACAAUAGCCAAACAACGCCAAAUCGCAAUUAGGAAGGAGUAUAAAUACAUGUGAGAGAGUAAGAUGGACACUUUUCUUCUCCAUAAAAGCUAGCGGAAACCAUAAAGAACAACUCUUCCCCAUUUUAAUUUCAAAACAGAAAUACUUUGCAUAUUCCCUUUUACCUAGCGCAAGAGUGAAAGAAGAAUAAUUGUAAGGUGAAAAAUCAAGAAUUUGAAGUAGAGAAAGAGAGAUGGAACCGGCUGAAACCAAAAAUAAAAAGAGAAGAAGGAAAGUUCAAAGGGAGGAGAAUAAUAUCACCUAAGUACUCCCUCAAAACUCUUCCAAAUUCAUGUGGUAAGAGUAAUCCUUUACUCUUGGAACUUGUCAUGGGAGGUGUUAGGUUGUAUGAGAAGAAAGCCCCGAUUUAGGAUGCUUGAAUUUAAUUAGGGUAAAUGAAAAAUCAAUGCAAAUACAUACUCUAGAGCAUAAAUAGUCUAAGAACACAACAUUUUUAACUAGGAUUAAUGAAGGUUGGAGUUGUUAGGAAACCCCUACCAUUCAACCAAAAGAACAAAAAUAAGAGAAAAGGGAGUCUCCAAUGGCAUUAUACUAAUAUAAUGAUGUUGAAGUGUGUAGUAACUAAAACUAUUAUUUUUUUACUUUUUUUCAUAUCUCUUGAUUUGCACUUAUAUGAUUUAUGUUGGUGCUUAAAGUUGUAUGAACCAUGUUAUCAUGAAAAUCAAAUAAAAAAGAAGAAGAAGAAGAAGAAAGAUUUGAUGUCUUGAUAAGGAAUGAACUUCAAUUGCUAGUUCCUAAUAGAGUUUAUAUGUAAUGGAAUACUAUAAUGAUGAAAAUAUGCAUAGAAAAUGUUUGAUUAGUGUUUGAAUCCAUGAAUUCAAAUCUGGGCAAUUUGAUAAUGGAAAUACCAACACAAAUUGGACAUAGAAGAUGAUAGAAAUUGCUAUAAUGUUUUAUAUGAAAGAUGUAAAGGAAUGAGUUUGCUAACAUUUGGCACUGGUCUUGCCUCAAUUGGAGUUUUAUAACUCUAGAUAUGGGCAAAAUACCAUCAAGAGGUCAAAUUGUCUGUAACAGGACAAUUUGGUUCUCAUAAUUAAAACUACUGUUAGAUAUAGAAGAUGAUAGAAAUUGCUGUAAUGUUUUAUAUGAAAGAUGUAGAGGAAUGAUUAGGUAACAUUUAGCACUAGUAUUGCCUCAAAUGGAGUUGUAUAACUCUAGAUAUGGGCAAAAUACCAUUAAAAGGUCAAACUAUCCGUAACAGGGCAGUUUUGGUUCUCAGAAUUAAAACUAUUGUUAGACAUAGAAGAUGAUAGAAAUUGUUGUAACGUUUUAUAAACAAGUUGUAGAGAAAUGAGUUAGAUAACAUUAGGACCUGGUCUUGCCUCAAUUGGAAUUAUAGAACUUCAUAUAUAGGCAAACUACCAUUUAGUGGACAAGUUGUUUGUAACAUGAUAGAUUUCACUACCUGACUUCUAACUAAUUUUAGAAUAGCUGAACAAUAGAAUUUUAGGCAACCUUAUAGAAGAAAGUUGUACUUAAGGAUGUUAAAUUUCACUAGGAUUUGGCCCCAUAUGAAUCGAAGCUCUAGAAUUCCAUUUAGAGACUAAAAAUUACAGACUUGCCAUGUUGCAAAUUACAGACAAGACAAAUUUACAUGUGUGUAGAAGACAAGUGAUUUUGGGCACACUGAUGAUUCAUGUUGAAAUUAAUUCUUCUGAAUCAUGGGAGAUGUAUAUGUCAACAUUAAAAAAAAACAUAUAAAAAGGUCUAGACGGAAAUAGAUGGUGAAAUUUUGUUGACGCAAACCCAAGUCAUAGAUACUGAAAGCUCGUUGAUGCAAAACUAAGUCAUGCGAACACUUGAAUGUGAUAUACUAACUCCAAAGAAAUGCACUUGAUAUGUAUAUGUACAUUAUGAUGAGGAAAUGAACAUGCAUAAAAAGUAGCAUAUGUAUAAUGAAUGAAUAUGGAUUGCCUAUAACAUUUAGCUUGAAGGAAUCAUAACCAAAGACUUCUUUGUGAAAUAGGAGGAGCGAUUGACCAGGAUUAGAUCUUCUAUUGGAGGAAGUCAAGAGACAAGCGAAGCAGGUGCAUGGUUUCCCUCUCCUUAAUGCUUAUGCAAUUUAAAAUCUCCUUGAUGAAUGUAAUUACAAUAAUAUUAUGUUCAAAAUAAAUAAAGUAUGGUAUAGGGAUGCCGGGAAAUGAAAUACAACAUUAGCUUCGGCUAAUGGCAUCCGUGAUAGGGAUGCAGGGAAAUGAAUUACAAGAUUAGAUUCGGCUAAUGGCAUCUAUGAUAGGAUUGUUGAGAAAUGAAUUAUAAAAGUAGCUUCUGCUAAUGGCGACCAUGUUGGGACACCUGGAAAUGAUCGAUAAGGCUUGAUUCGUAAAAGGUAUCCAUGUUGGAUUAUGCAAGGUUGAAGAUCUAAUAAAACCAAUUAAACAAAGUUACUAGGUUCAUGUAAGAAGAUAAGAGAAAUAAAUUAAGAAUAUAACAAUAUGGAUUGUUACACGUAAGAGCCAGAUUUUGCUUAUUCUUGUUAUUCUUUAUCAUUUACUUUCUUUUUAGUUUUUUUUUUCAUUGUCUCUCUGAGCCCUCUUCCUAUAAAGAGGCAAUUCUUGAUCCUCUUUGGCAGCAAGCUAUGGAUGAGGAACUUUCUGCUUUGCAUAAGACAGAUACUUGGGAUUCGGUUCCUCUACCUCCUGGUAAAAAUUUUAUUGGUUGUCGUUGGGUGUAUAAAAUCAAGACUAAUUCUAAUGGGUUUAUUAAGCGAUAAAAAGCUAGGUUGAUUGGAAAAGGAUACUCUCAAUAGUAUGGUAUGGAUUUUGAGGAGACAUUUACCCCUAUUGCAAAAAUGACUAUUAUUCGUACUCUUAUUGUUGUAGCUUAAGUUUGUCAAUGGAAUAUCUCACAACUUGAUGUUAAAAAUGCCUUCUUGAAUUGAGAUCUUCAAGAAGAAAUUUAUAUGGUGCCUCCUCCUAGUGUUUUAUAUGACUCUAGGUAUGUUUGUAAGCUCAAGAAAGCGUUAUAUGGUCUCAAAUAAGCACCUUGGCUUGAGAAAUUUUCUAUUGUGAUCUCAUCUCUUGGAUUUGUUUCUGGUAAUCAUGAUUCUGCUCUUUUUAUUAAGUGCAUUGAUGUCGGUCAUAUCAUUCUAUCUUUAUAUGUUGAUGACAUCAUUAUUAUUGGUGAUGACAUUGAUGGUAUCUCAGUUUUGAAGACAGAGCUAGCUAGACAGUUUCAAAUAAAGGAUUUGGGUUCUCUACGAUAUUUCCUGGGUAUUGAGGUAGUUUACUCACCUAGAGGUUACCUUCUUUCUCAAUUGAAAUAUGUUGCAGAUAUUCAUGAGCGGGCUAGACUUACAUAUAACAAGACUAUAAACACUCCUAUUAAAGUUAAAGCAAGGUACUCUUCUUUUGAUGGUUGACCUUUGAUAGAUCCUACUUUAUACCAUAUUAUUGUUCGGAGCUCGGUAUAUCUCACCAUUACUCGUCUAGAUAAUGCAUAUGUUAUUCAUGUUGUUAGUCAGUUUGUUGUUUCUCCUACUAUUGGUCACUGGGCAGCUAUUCUUCGUAUUUUGCAAUAUCUUCAAUGUAUAGUUUUUUAUGACAACCAGAAUUCUAUUUAGAUUGUUCACAACUCGGUUUUUCAUGAGCAAACUAAGCACAUUGAAAACGAUUGUUAUCUUACUCAUCAUCAUCUCAAGCAUGGCACCAUUACUUUGCCUUUUGUUUCUUCUUCCUUGCAGAUUAUAGAUUGCUUUACCAAGACACAUUUCAUUUCUCGUUUUUGUUUUUUAGUUGGCAAACUCUCGAUACUUGUAAUUAUCACAUCGUGAGUUUAAGAGUAGAUGUUAAAUAAUAUUUAUAUAGUCUUAUUUAUUAAGGGUACAAUAGUAUUUUCAAUUUAACAUAUAUAUAAUUUCUUUGUAUUUAGGUUAACUCUAAGCACUCAUAAUAAACUGAUUAUUGAGAAUUCUAGUCUCAUUUUUCUAUAUGAUCUGAAUUAUUUUAACAAUAAUAUUUAUUUAACAUAUACAUGGUGUAUAGAACAAACUACAAGAUCUAUUUCUUAAAAAUUGCCCUAAUACAUAUUAUGUCGAUUAUUUUGCCCACUCAUCUAACUCCAUCAAUAAGUGGAAAGAGAUGCAAAGCUAAUUUUAAGAGCCUUUUUAUAAAAUAAAACUAGAAAUAACACUAACUAGCUUGGCUAGAAUAGUCUAAAAUCUAGAGGAGUGCAUAAAAGCUAUGGCCUUUCAAGACUUUGUCAACAGAGCAAGAAUGUACUAAAUCAAUUUUGAAAGUGACACAUUGGAACUUAAAAAAAAAAAUUAAAUAAGUAUUUAGAUAUUUAUAUUAUUUUAGAUGAUGUUACUCGAGAUGAAAAUAUUUUUGGAAAAUAAACAAACAAAAAAAACUAUUCAGAGGAAUAUACCUAGUGAACUAUUUAAACAAAGUGUGAUCGCGUAUUCAAUUACUGAUCUUGGUUCUGAACAGAAGUUUGAAAAAGUAAAACAACAACAACUUAUAUUGUUCAUAGAACUCAAAAAGAAAAAAUCGUUCAAAAUUAUUGCAUUACGAAUGCUAAACAAGGCUAGUAGAAGCAAAAAUGAUUAAGUGAGUAGAGAGAAUAUAUAUAUAUAAGGAGAAAGGAAACUUCCAAGAAACCACACAAUUCUAAGAAAUACUAUAAGUGACAAGAUUUAAGGAUACUUAAUGUUACGUUGAAUUAAAAUAUCAGAUCUGUAAACUAAUUAGAUUGAAAAAAACAGGUGGCUUACAAAAGAACACGCUUACAAGAUGCACUGGAUAGCUAGAUCUCCACUCUAUAAAUAGGCCUGGUUCGUUCUACUUCAAACCACUCUUCCCUAGCUACGCACUUCUUCCUUCUAUAUCUAUUGUUUCUGUUUCCUUCUUUCAUUUUACUUGUCAAUGGAAAGUGGGCUUAAGGCAUUGUGGAUGCUGUCUGCGGUGUUGCUGGUAUCAAACUGGCAACACUGGACUUAUGGAAAACGCGUACCUCAGGUUCCUUGCUACUUUGUCUUUGGAGAUUCUCUCUUUGAUAACGGAAACAAUAAUUACCUUGACAAAUCAGCUAAAGUUAAUUACCUUCCUUAUGGGAUAGACUUUGACACUGGGGCUACAGGAAGGUGCAGCAAUGGUCUCAACAUAGCUGACACCAUUGGUCUGCAGUUUUCUCUCCUCUCUUAUAAUACAAAAUAUAGUGCUUUAGUUUUCUUUAACAUAAAAAAUAAAUAUGUUCUCACUAGAUAGUUGUGAUCGUUUUAUUAAAUUACAAUUAGAAAUCUUGCUAAGUCUGGUACUAAUGUUUUUGUUGCUGAAAUUUACAUAAUUUAUUAGAAGAAGGAUGAUUAGGUUUGUUCUUUUGUUUCUUGUAUACCUAGAAACAUAAAUUUACAACGGUCUGAACAUAACCGAGUUUAGUAAUGUGGGCAGUUAUGAUCUUAAUUAUUAUUCUUUUGUUUCAGCUGACCAAUUAGGUUUCGACAGUUACAUUACGGACUUUGGUGUCGGAGGUUCCACUAAUUUUCUAGAUGGUGUAAAUUAUGGAUCAAAUGGAGCUGGCAUCCUUGAUUCUACUGGCUCUCUUGCGGUGAUUACUGAUCAUAUGCCUCUCAUAACUAAAACCUUGUAUUAUUCCGUAUGAAUUUUGCGUAAUCUUGUAUGCUUUGGCAACGCUAACUAUUGAUAUGUUUCUUUUGCGUAUGUGAAGGGAGAACUAUUUACGAUGAAUGAUCAGUUAUUUAAUCACAAUAAUAUCACGGUUUCACGAAUUUCCAAAAUCUUGGGAAGCGAGGAAGUUGCUAGGAAGUACUUGAGCCAAUGCAUCUAUGUGUCUGAUAUGGGCCAUAACGACUACCUCAACAAUUAUUUCUCGGACGACUACAAUAGCAGCCAGUUAUAUACUCCUGAAGAAUUUGCUCAACUUCUCAUUGAAACUUAUGAAACUCAGCUGGAGGUUAGUCCUACUUAAUGUCUCUUGUAAAACAACAAUUAAUGUUUGACGCGAUUGGAAACUAACAAAGACCCUUGCUGCCAGAAACUGUAUUGCUCAGGAGCAAGAAAGAUAGCUGUGUUAGGACUUAUUCGGGUAGGAUGUAUGCCGCACAACAUACAAAACCAUCCCAAAGACGUAGAUGCAUCUUCUUCAUGUGUAGAAAAGUUCAACAGUGAUGUUCAAAUUUUCAACUACAAGCUUCCAACACUGCUACAUAAACUUAAUGAAAAGCAUGCUGAUGCUGUGUUUACCUACAUAAACUCUUAUGAAAUUGAUUCUGAUGAUCAGACAAAUGCAGGUAUGAAUCCCCUCCCUCCCUUGCUCUCUCUCUCUCACGGCUGAAGACGACUUUUUUGUGAGACCAAAAUUAUUUUUUCUUGCUUGCAGG